This 81520-nucleotide long non-coding RNA is filed under the name Vitis vinifera (wine grape). RNAcentral describes it as "long non-coding RNA (VVIN_LNC003642)". Lineage: Eukaryota; Viridiplantae; Streptophyta; Magnoliopsida; Vitales; Vitaceae. The record is from RNAcentral.
UUAAUGUGAAUGUGGAUCGGGAAAUAAAGCCAAUGGUUGGAACAACUGCAUGUUGCAAUGAUUGUGAAGGCCACAAGUUAAGCAAUCAUUAGAAAUAUGUUUGAACUGUAAUGAAAAUGGCUUAUAUCUCCCCUGAAAUAGAGCAUUAUAGUAAUGGUCAAAGCAGGACCCUAUUGUAGUUAAUUCCCACUACAAUAGUUGUGAAGACCGCAAGUCAAGCAACUUUGAGAGUGAGUUUGAGCAAGAAAAGUUAUGGCCUAGCUUAACUCGAUCCAAUACCUUAGUAUCCCAAUAAGUCAGAUGACUAAAAAAUGAUACUCUACACCUAUGAGAAUAGAUUGACUUAGCAAGUGAGAUUUCUCCUCUAACCUCCACUCAACACCUUAUCUAUUUUACUUUCUAAACACUUUAAAUCACACACAUCAAUCUUUCCUUACUUGGAUGAUAUUUAGAAAUACCUAGCUAACAACUUUGUAAGAAAGCAACUUUCCCUAUGGGAUUAAUCCUAGUAUCCACUAGGCAAUAAUGAAAAUCUUUGCACUUAGAGAUUUGACACACUUUUGGUGCACAACCAAGAUCAACUACUAUGCUAAGCCUUUCUUAGAGAGAGUCUAGCUUUUGAACAUGCAUAUAGGCUUUUAGCCACCAAAAUUUCAAUAAUUUGAUGACAAAAGGAAUCGAGGGCAACGUGUGGCCUAUUAAUGGAAACAUGUAAUAAUGUGGGCAUUCAUAGGAUCUCCUAGUCAAACAAUUUGAUUGUUCUAUGAAAGAAAAUGCCUUUGAUUGGUACAUCGAUCUUAAAUUUGGUUUAAAAGAUAGUUGGGAACAACUUAAGUAAGAGUUCCUCAAUCGUUUUUAAGGUACUCAAUACAUUGUAAGCAUGAAAAAGCUCCAAAAAAUCAUUGAUCGAAUGAGGAUUCUAUCAUUGAUUGUAUCAAUAAAUGGAGAACUCAACUAUGAUGACAAAUUAUUCACAACCCAAGCUAUUAAGACGUGUACACAAUUAUUAGGAUUUACACUACAUUCUACAAGGAAUAAAGCCAAUAACCCUUAAAGAAUUAAGAACAUGAGCCCAUGAUAUGGAACUUAGCAUUUCAACUAAUGGAAAUAUGGCUCUAUUUUUUUAAGAUCCAAGAAAUGGUAAGAAUAAGAAAUACACUUUUAAGGGGUUAGAAAUCUUCUAUAAAGGCAAGUAACACAAGCAUUAUGAAUACUAAUACUAUUCUAGAAAAACUCCUAAGUAACAUGAAUGGGUAAAAGUCCAAAAUAAUUUACAUUUUUUAGGAUAGAACCCUUAAGAGCAUGAUAUGAUAUAAUAGAUUUGGAAUUCAUUAUUUAUUUGAUGAUAUUCUAAUUUUACUUUAAUAUAUUAUUAUUCCAUGCAUUACAACUUAUGAGGUUUUUUGCCUAGCAUCUCUUUCAUUGUAUAUGACUUGAGUGCAAUAGGAGUUACAUGAAAGUUCCAAGUUAUGGGUUCCUUAUAAGUAGAUGACUUAUUCACAGUUGGUUCAUGAAUUUAAGCAAUCCAUUAGAGAAUGUAAGACACCAUCUUCUAAUUGGAGGUCGAUGACUUGUUUUGAUCAUCAAGAUGAGUUUCCCAUAGUGAGUGCAUUUGUGUGCAUGGUUUAUAUAUUGGAUAGGAUCCACAAUGAGUCAUGACGUAAGGUUAUUGAGUAGUAAUGACUUCACCAAGUUGUUAUGUUGUAUUGUUUCUCAAUUUUGAGAGAAUACUUUGCUUAUGUUAAAAUUAGCAGUAGCUUUGGCCCACAAGUAAGAUCCUAAAGUGAUCAUAUAUCCCCUAUGGAUUGGGUUACUAUUAGUUGAAGUCAGUAAUAAUAGUUAUUCUCAAUAGAGGUAUCAUAAUAUCUCAUGAGAUUCAGUUUCCUUGGGUGAUUCUAAUGAUGUGUAUUUAGCUAUGGUCAUUGUAGUUCCUUAAGUGAAACUUGACAUUAGUUCUGAUGAGUUAACAUAUGUCAAUUGAUCACAUUAUAUGAGGAUUUGGAACUCAAGGAUUGUAGGUAAUCAUGAGAGGUUGAUAGUUUUCACCUUGUUAGAUUACAAAUACCAGUUCAUAAGGAGAUUGUAUACAAUGGAUAAUGAGUCAUAGGUUCAAACACCUAGUGUCUUGUUAUAAUAUACUUAGACUACUAGAACAUAGUUGACAUUUUGUAGUGGAAUAUUAAGUCAACUUUUGAAUUAGAUUUUGAGAGAGCUAAUACUAUCUUCUAGGUCUUAAUGGUCCCUAUUUGAGUUCAUAUACCUUAUAUACCUUGUUGGCACGUUUUAUGAAAGUUGAAUCAACUCUAAGUUCACCUAUGUGCAUAAGGUCAUUUUAGUAAUUAUGCAAGGUUGCAUAGAAAUUAGUGGACAACAUCUCUAGACUAGACUAAUUGAUUAAUUGGAACUUUAUUAGGUUAAUUAAUUAAUUAGGACUCUUUUUUGGGCUAAAUUAAGUGAUCUAAGCCUAAGAUGAGCUUUAGUCACUUAAGCCCACUAGGAACCCUAUAAAUACCCCUUAUAAGGUUUUUAUUCUUCUAUUCUUCAUUCACAUUCUAGAGAUAGCCCUAGUCUUUACCUUAAGAUACUUCUACUAUCUCUAUACCAAAGCUAAAGUCAUCGAGUAGAAGAUCUCUAGGUCUUCAAGGUCAUCUUCAACACUUAGAAUUUAAGGUUUGGGAACAUCUAAACUAAAUGUUAGAUUUUUAAUCCUAAAAAUCAAUUUUUUUUAAAAAAAAUUGGUAUUGCUUAUAUUGCAUAGAUCUUUAUUUAGGGUAUGUCAAAUAAAAUCUUACAAAGAGUAAAAUUUUGAUUUUAUUACAAACAAAGAGUAAAAGAGAAAAGAUAAUAGGAUAUCGAAGUACCUUUGAGUGCUUCAAUAGUUAAUAGAAGGAGAAAUUGCAACCCCAUGGGUGGAGAGAAUCUUUGAGUCCUCUAUUAAAGUUAAAAAGAGAGAAAGAGUUUGAAAUAGAGGGUUUUCUAUUUCUGUUUGAAAUAGAAUAGUUUAGAGAAGGUAACAAGAGUUAUAUUUAGUAUAUAUAGUAGCAGAACGGGCUAUUAUUAUUACAUCAUUCUUAGUGGAUUUUUUUUAUAAAUUUACCGAUAUUUGAUAAAUUAAUUUUUAAAAUACAGUAGAUUAGAAAAUAAUUUCAAUUAUAUGACAGUUUCGGACAUGUAGGAAUGUAAUGUGAAAAAAAAAAAACAUAAUACUUUCACAUUUUAAUAAAAGUUUCUGAUGCAAACCUCACGUCACUCAUUUCUCAAACCCCAAUAACCAUUUCUCUUUCCUUCUCAAACUUUUCCCUACACUUGUUGCUUACCAUCAAAGUGGAGCUCCUUGCAUUGACAUCAAUAGAAAUGAGGUGUAGGGCAAAUCCAAGACACUGCCACUCGCAGGUGUUAGGUAAGUUUUGUGGUUGUGUUCGGUGGUUUAGAAAGUGUAAGAAAGUUGAAAAAAAUGAAGUUUCCAUUAUUUUAUUUUUAUUUUUACAAUUAAUCUGAAUAGACUAAAAGUCACAGAAAAAGUUUUCAUUUUUUGUGGUUCCAUGUGUUGUGAUUCAUGUCUAUCCUAUUAAUCCAUCAUACACACCAAGUAAAGGAAUGCAUGCUAACAACACAUAAAUCUAAAAAUCAUCACUGAAAACACCCUUUUCAUUUAAUAUAGAUUCGAUUUUGUGGACUAUUGGAAAGUGUCUCUUCAAGAGAUAUUUUUAGUAUAAAUUCGAUUUUGUGGACUUUUGAAAAGAUUUUAUGAAAUUAUGGAAAUUGUCUUUUUUAGAGAUGCCUUAGUAUAAAUCCAAUUUUUUUGGAAUUAUGGAAAGACACCUUUAGUUUAAAUUCAAUUUUUUUUAAGCGUAUACCAAGUAUAUGAAAAUUAUAAAGGGUGUCUCUUAAAGAGACCUUUGAUGUGACAAAAAAUGCCAUAAAUUUGUAAAUAUUUUUCGAACUACCAUGUUUAAAGAAUUUUUUUAAAAAGUUAUUGUAGAAGUUAAAAAAAAAAAUCCUUUUUGGUCUCAAUAUAAAAAAACCCGUAACUAUAGCAUCCAUGCUUAUUAUCUUUGGUUGUGGUUUCCAAUAUAACUGCUACCGUAUACUUUAUCAAGAAAUUUUCCCACGAGACUUUCCUUCUUCACAUAUUGUAGCCGCAAAAAAAGUCUUAGUGAGUCUAUGUAUCAUCGUUGGUUGCAAAAAUUUUUUACCCCUGUUAUAGCCAUGUAAUAUAUGUUGUAUUUCUUGUAGUGACUUUUAGCAAUUACAUUUAUUUUCUAAUAAUAUUUUUUCAAAUAAAAUUUAUUCCCAUGCAUUGGACUCGUACCCUCCAUUGUGGCUAAUAAAAGAUAAUAUUAUUUUUUUUUAUAUCUUAAUGUCAUAGGGAAAAUGUGAGGAAUAACCAUUAAAACAAAUGAAAAACAAAAGUUUGAGGAAAAUAAUUUUUAAAAUAAUUUAAUUUUUUUUACUUUGAAUUUUUUUAUGGACAAUAAGAUUUCAAAGAAAAGAAAAUUUAUGCAUUUUCUUUGUUUUUUUUAAAAUAUAUUUUUCUUUUUAUUAAUAUUCCAAACUUGAUAACUUUAGCCAACUAAUUUUAACCAUACUCAACAAAAUAAUUAAAAUAAAAUUUAGGACUUUUCUACACACACACACACACACACAUAUAUAUAUAUAUAUUGCAUUGGCGUUGCAUAGUGAUUAAGAAAAAAAUGAUCAAAAUAGGAAAUUUAUAUUUAAAACAAAUUGUCAAGUGCAACCUAAGUGUAAACCCCUUAAAAGACCAAGGGUUCUUUUCAUUUGUUUGGGACCACCUGGGGAGAGAAUUUUCCAUUCAUUUUUUUGAGAUGAGAGGGGGACCCCUUUUCUGCCAGGAAGAAGCCGCAUGGACAGGUGGCUAAGGACAUGGCUGGCUAUGAGGGUGGUUGAGAGGCCAUGCUUGCUGAUCGAGAAACAGGAGAGUGGGUGAUAACUGUGACAAGAGGGUUUGAGGUUGAGGGGUUUGGAAUGGCAGCUAGGAGGAGCAGAAAAAGGGGACUAAGUUUUUUUUGAAAAAAAAUAAAAAUCUAGAGAGUUGAAAGAGAGGACAGAAAAGAUCACUGGGAGGAAAGCUGGAGAGAGAAAACAAAAAUAUGAGAGCUAGCUGGAGGGGAAGUUUUGAAGGACGUUGAGGAAAAAUGCAGGAGAAGAGUCCAAAGAGGAGGAAAAACAAAGGAAAUGGAACUGGCUGACGUUUUUUUUGGGAUUAGGAAGAAGGAAACUAGAGGAGGAAGCUUUUCGGAUAUGGGUUUUUUUUUUUUUUUUUUUAGUAGGGAGGUGAGAGAAAAGCUGGACUGAGAGAGAGAGCAACAUAUAAGCAAAAAAUGAACAGAAACUGAACGGGAGCACUCUCAAAUAAUGCAAUUCAGAAUAUCACCCUGGAAGCUCCAUGGUUUAGAUCUAGUGAAAGAUUAUGCGCUUACAUAAGUUGCAGUUCUUUGCGAGAAGUUGAUGCAUCAAAAGUUCUGUAAAAAAUUCCAUAGAAGCCAGCCAAAGGUCAUCACUCAGGUAUGUUCUUUGCCUCUCAUAUUUAUUAGGGUAUUUUGUUGUGAUUUUCAUUCAGUACUCAUUGAUUUAUUUAUCAAUUGUUAUACUUGUUUCAUUUUAUUAGUAGAGACCCGACUUUAGGGACUUAGAGGGGUGCUACGGUCUUUACCGUACCUUCCCGAUAAGUAACCUGAUCCCCGAGCCCAAUCCGGUUUUUCGCAAACCACCUUUUCCAAAUAAGGAGUCACACUUAGGGUUUUCUUUCUUAUUUUGUUUACUCUUUUAAAAAUAAAACAAAAAUAAGUGGCGACUCCAAGUCAUUUUCUUAAUAAAUAAAAAUCAUUUUUCAAAUAAAAAUCGAGCUCACCAUCGAGUGGAAAACGCAUGAGCCGAAAUACGGGGUCCACAAAAUGGCGACUCCACUAGGGAUCACUAGAAGGUCAAGCUUGAACAUAAAUUAAGGCAAAUGUGGCGUUUGAUUAGUCAAUCAGUGGGUACCCACCUUUCUUUGUGCGUGUAUUUAUUUGACUAUUGAUUACACAUUGAGAGCUCUUGAUAUCAUUACACUUGAUGCAUUCUUGGUUAUUGUAUUUGUUUGGGACAUUGACAUGUUGAUUAUAUUGAUUGAUCAUUUCGUUUUUCCUCACAUGUCGACUUUCCUGGUUGUACGAUCACUAUGCUCACCUUGACAUGUACAUUCUUCUUGUUGCUUAUCUCGUUCAUCUUGACAUGUUUGAUUUUUGGUUGUAUAUUAUCAUGAUUGUUAUGGAGCAUGCUAUCAUUGCCAGAUAUUCUUCUCGAUUAGCUUGUGUGUAGAUUUGGAUGAUAUAUACCUAUUCUGCUUGUCUGUAUGUUGCAUGACUGUCCUUCUUCUGCAUGAUUGCAUGUCGCUUGUCCGUGUGGGUAGCAUAUCUAUCCCCUUACCUCAAACUCUCUUGGUUUCGGUCAUUCCCUUAAUUCCGGUUCUCACUAUUGCAAGUGUGAGGCAUUCUGUGUGCUUGUUCUCUGACCGAGCCAGAGAUUAGGAGUAGGGUCUAGCGACGAGCUAUACUGAUGUUUGGGAGCAUUCUUGAGGUGUCCGACACACUGAUGUCGAUUGGAGUUCGAUCAUUGAAGACCUGUAUAGCCUAGAGCUAGGUUUUAUGGAUAUUUGUGUGGCCAGUGUGUUUCCUUUUCUGUUUUAGCUUCUUAGGGUUUUCAGAUGCACCCAUACCACUCACUGUGCACCUUAGAUCGUCAAUGAGUGAUCAUGGUUGUGAGAUAUGCCAGCCAUUAGGAGAGUUUUCACCAUAGGAGCCCCUUGGGAUGUCGAGGUAGUGCAUGUGUGGAGGUGAUGACCACCUUGCACGGAAGCGCCCCGUCUCUUCGGAGGCAUGCAAAGGGUUGCGUACCGUCGGAGGGUACGAUCGCUUCUGCUAGGGAUCCUUUAAAGUCCACCAUUUUUAUUUUUAGAGCCACCUUGACCUUGUAAGUUGAGCCAUAAAUCCUUCGAUUAGGACUCUCUCCUUACACGUGGGUGCAUCUAAGGGCUUUCAGAGCCUCUAUGGUCAUAGUUUGGAUUCGACACUCCCUCUUUUUAGUCUCUAGUUGAGAGUGCUCAGAGAUUGGUAUGAGUUUGAGUAUCGGUUGGAUCACCUUUAUCAUGUCGCCUUAGUUUGUUCUUUUCACUCGAUGAGUUUGUCAUGCUUUCUCCCUAAGGCCUUUCGUCUUUCUUUCUUGGCUCGACACAUCCAUUCACUUUGCUAUCACUUGCUCGAUGCUUUGGGAUAUGUUCAUUGAUAAGUUUUUUACACUAUACACCCAUCACAGGCUCAGUACCUCAUUCUUUGUUGGAUACUUGAUUUGAUUUUCAACUCGAUGCUCAUAUUUUCAUUACAGAAAGGUGAAAGACACAUUUUCACAUUCACACCUUUUUCGAGAGAGUUGUCUUGAUCACCUUACCAUUUUUUUUUCUUAUGGAGCUCGAGUUGAAGGUUGAGUUAAGGACAUGUGGUUAUAGAUGGAGUAUUGAUCUCGUGAUAGCGUGUUUUUCACACUUCUUUCAUCUUGGAUUGUUGAUAAGAAUUCUCUAGUCACAUUUGUAGUCAUCUCGCAAUUGACACCUUUAUGACUCCAAAGUUCUCAUCAUACAUCCAGAUUUUGGAUUACCACCUCAGGAUCAUGUGCUUGCAUGUUGUAUUGUUGUCUUUUAAGGUCUUAUCUUGUGUCCUUCAUCCAUUUCGUUUGCAUUGUAGGGUGUCAUUUUAUGAGUUGAUUGAGUCUGGAGUUACAUCCUUGGAGGAGAGUUGGAGGUCGAUUGAUCAGAGUAGAUUCACAUCAGAGUUCAGACAGUUCGAUCGAGAUGUCAGACGAGUUAGCUUCCACACUUGCUUCUAUUCAGGAGUUCAUGACAUGGGUUAGUAGACGUUUGGAUCAGAUAGAGAGUUCUCGCUAGGAUCAUCAUCUAGUUGGCAUUAGCACCGACGAUACAGUUCCUCAUGUACCUCAGACAGCGCAGGUUUUUCCACCUGGGACUUCACCUGGCAUUCCAUUCCAUUUAUCAAAUCAUUGUGAGACUGCUCCACCACCUACUGCCACAAUGUCACCUCCCAUGGUUCCUACUAUUGAUGAUGCUAGAUUGGCCGAGCAGGAGGCCAGGAUCAAGAGGCUUGAGUCUAAGAUGAGACAGAUCAGAUUGCAAAAUGGAGGUUUGACUUGGGAUGAUAGGGAUGGUAUAUCGGCGGCUAGCUUGCCCACCAAAUUUCGCAUGCCAGACAUUGAGCAUUAUAGUGGGAUCGGUUGUCCUAAGAUCCAUUUGAGACUAUACAACACAGUCAUGAGAGCACACGGGAUAAAUGAUGCACAGUUGGUGGCCCUCUUCCUUAUGUCACUUAGUGGAGCGGCUCAGAAAUGGUUUGCUUCAGUUGAGCCUUCGAGACUCCGCACCUGGGAGGAUGUGGCUCAUGAGUUCCUAACUCAGUUCGCUUUCAGUGCGGAUAUUGAUGUAUCUAGACGAGAGUUGGAGGCCACCAGGCAGAGGCCAGAUGAGUCUAUUUCUUCCUUUGUCAUUCGUUGGAGGGCAAAGGUGGCUAGUAUGAUAGAUCGGCCUAAGGAGCAGGAUCAGAUUGAUAUGGUUCUUCGGAACCUACAACCGAGGUUCGCGAGACGUCUUGUGGGCAUCCCAUUUCAGGAUCUUAAGAGUCUAGUUCAUGCAGCUUUUAGUGUUGAGGAGACCAUCGCUCGAGGAUUAUGGACAAAUACUACUCCUUCUCCAGACACUAAGGGGAAGAAACCGAUUAGAUCAUUUAGUAAAUUUGGAGAGGUUGGUGCUAUUAGUUAUCAGCAUCAGCGACCUGCACAUCACUCACCUUACAGACCUCUUACAGUCAGAGCUCAUUUAUCUCAUCCACAGUAUCAGUAUCAGCUGGUUUAUGUUCAGGAACCUUACAUUGCACAGGCCAGCAUGCAGCCACGACCAUCACAUUCGAGAGCCGCUACUCACCCACCGCCUAGACCAUAUGCAUAGAGGCUCGCGAGACAGUUCACUCCCUUGGGCAUGACCAUGACUAGAGCUUUUGAGAAGCUCGGAGAUGGCGGUUUGAUCGUUCCUUUAGCGCCACGCCUUUUGCCACAUCCUAUUCCUCCACAUUUUCGCUCCCAUGAGCAUUGCUUAUAUCAUCAGAUGCAAGGGCACAAUACUGAGCAUUGUUCGGCACUCCAUCAUGCGAUACAGGACUUGAUCGAUUCAGGGUUGGUCAACUUGGUUGGGCCAAGUGUGACCACCAAUCCUUUGCCUACGCAUUCUACACAUGCAGUCUCUCCUCCUCCUAGUCUUCAGUAGAUCGAUUUGGAUGUUGAUAGUAUUGAUGGUCGCAUGGUAUUUUGGGACAUCCCGGGUUGAGGGUUUGGAUCAGUCGACAUGGGUACAUCAUUUGGUAGCAGUUCAGUUCAGAGCAUUUUUCAUGUUGAUUAUGGUCAUCAUCCGAGUCAUCUCCAUUUUGUUGAGUCCAGUUGUUAGUUCGUCAGAGUUGUUUUUAUUUUGUUGAGUAUGGUUUUGGUCUAGAGUCGUUUAUAGUUCAUGUUAAGAGUUUGGUCAUUUAUAGUCCUUUAUCGUUUCACACAUGAUGUACUCGUUGGUUCAUUCAGUGAUAUGAUAUUUUAUCUGAGUAUGUGGUAUUUUUCUCGUGAGUGUGUUUUACAUAUCUUGUGUUGACGUGUGUUAUGCUUUUGAUAUGAGACAUCUUUCACUUACAUCACGAUCACUUUGGCCUAACCUAUCAUGGAAGAUAUUGAGCCUAUGGACUUAGGAUUAGGAGAUCGACCUAGGGAGUUCAAUACUGUAACCCAUUUCACUUUCUGUUCGGAGCAGUACCAUAUCUAUAUCCAUACCCUGACUUUGUGGACUUGAUGACCUAGCCAUUUUGAGCCUAACAUGACACCACCUCUUGGUACCACUGUACGAUUUUACCAUCCAUUGUUCAUUUUAGCGUAUUACAGUACCAUUGCCUACUCUUUCCAUCAUUUCCUUGAUUUGACUAGGUAGAGUCUGAGAUGGUUAGACUCGAGGUGAGCUUUACACGAUGAUAAAUGGAUCGUGAUGAGAGAGUGGCUUGACUGUUUGACAAUAUUAUUGAGAUAGAGGGGUUAUCAUAGAGCAUCCAGAUUUGAGCCAUUGCAUAUGACUUCAGAGAGUCGGGAUGAUUAGAGAUGGUGAUUUUAUGAGAUGAUGGUGAGUGGCUUGUGAUGAUAGAGUAAGUUGAUUUUCAGAGGACAUUGAUCGUUAUCAUAGAACAUCAGUGGGAGCUUUCGCACGAUUUCAGAGGAGUCGCCAUGACUAUGUUGGAUGGAUGCCAGUCUUUAGUAUUGACCAUGUGAUAUCUCGAAAGCAUGAUGGGUGGCCAUCAUUUCAUGAGUCUAUUUACUUUAUCACUCUCGCAUAUAGAGUUACCCGUUGCUAGCCCUUUGAGCCUCGCAGAGCAUCAUAGCUUUUUCUUUCAUCACCUCAAUAACCUAUAACACCGGGUUGAGGAUCCUAUAGUGCUUGCAUGCUAUGAUUGGAUACGUCAUGAGUUCCAGACCUCAUUUCUCACUCUUCAUUGUGAUAUUGCCCACUUGGGCAUCAUUUCAUCACUAUUUUCUGAUAUCACAUAUCAUUACCUAUGAUAUUCGUUCUCUGUCUUUUCUUUCAUCAGUGCUUACUUGAUAUUAUCCUUGUUUCACCUUGAGUGUUGGUUUCUCACACGUCACUACAUAGAGAACUGUCACGUUCUUCCCCCCCCCCCCCCCCCCGGUUCGCCUUAUGAGCAGUGGUUCAUAGAUCAUAAUUUGAGAGGUUGUCUUGUUAGUGAGGAUUCAUGUUACAUCAGUACAUGGAGAGAGUUUAUUCAUUUAGCUAUGUAUUUCAUGGGAGAUCAUUCACUAUUGAUCAGAGUAUGCGCAAAAAAAAAAACAAAAAAAACAAAAACAAAACAAAACAAAACAAAAACAAAAAAAUGAAAAAAAAAAAAAAAAAAGGAUAGCGCAUUGUUCAUUUUCUUAUUCUCCAUUGAGCAGGUGUAUGGACAUGCUAGUUUACUUCAUUGAGUUCAUGUGUUAGAGAGAGUUCGUAUGAGAGCUUCUUUCUGAGAUUCUAUCUUGGUAUAUUUUGGGUGAGAGUAUGAGUUGCCCAUUCGUUUUGGUGAGAAAGGCAAGUGAUUUUUCUUUAGUAUCUCUAGAUCCUUGCUCUAUCCAUCAUCCCAUCUGUUUCAAAUGUGACUACUUUCCAUGCUUUGAUGUAGGUUGACCAUCACUCACUUUUCUAUUUCUCUGUCUUAUUUUUAUCCUUAUUUUAUCCCUCCAUUUCACUCUACCUCAUCUGAUUUCAUUCUUUUCUCAUCCUGCUUGAUGUUUGACAUGGGUUCAGCAUCCACACUUUAUUCUUGGUUAUUCGAUGUGACCAUUCAUUUAUCAUCACUUUUCGUGUAGAGACCCCAAGGUCCGGGACUCAUGACAUUUUCUACGUAUUGCAUCUCAUGCACAAGGGGUAUGAGAAUUAUAUCAUUGGGAUCUUUGAGCCUAGUUUCCUUUCAUUUCUUUCACCCUAUUACCUUAGCCUACGUUACGUCCCGUGUCUGAAGACCACCUUGAGGCCAUUACUUCACAUUGUGUUUGACAGCUCACACGUGGGCAAUACUCGAGCUUGGUCGGAGAUUAUUCCUCAGAGCAUGAUGAUAGGGAGUUGAGAUGAUGCUUUACACUGGGGCAUACCCCUCUUAUCAGUGAUGGAAUUUUAGAAGUGAUGUGAUCUACACUGGGGCAUACCCCGCUCAUCAAUGACGUUUUCUUUCAGGAUGAUGCCUUGCACUGAGGCAUAGUCAGUUCUCCACUCAUUGAUGGUUGAUUUUUUAGAUGACGAUUUAUUUUGAGGCAUAGUCCUCUCAUCGAUGAUGGACUUUGAUUUAUCUUGGAGCAUAGUCACUUCAGAUGGUUUAUACUGAGGCAUAGCCAGUUCAUUCGUACUCAUAGAGCUCGGGGAUUCUGAUUUAUAUGGAUUAUGUUGAGAUGUUUCUGUUUUAGCACCAGGAGUAGAGAUUGAUCGAUUUGUUGACCCGUACUAGGCAUGGUCUUCCUCAGCAGUUGUUGACUUGGGUAUACUGCUUUACACUGGGGUAUAGCCAGGAUAGAGAGCAUUUUUCAUUGGAGCAUAGCUACCAUAUUUGGUUCCUUUACGCUGGGGCAUGUCCAUCUUUUGGAGGGAGAUCAGAUUGAUUCUUGACAUUGGAGCAUCUAACGAAUGAUAUGGAGAUCAUUGGAUUAUUUCAUGUUGUCCUCAUUGCAUACUAGGGCAUAGCCACCUAGUUGGAUUUUUUGACAUCGAGAUUUGACUUCCUGUUUGUGAUUGCUCCACGAUGGGUUAUGGAGCUAUCGACACCUCAGGUUUAGUCUUCUCGUCGUAUUUGGAUGAUCUCAGAUACUUACAUACCUUUCAUUUUGUACUCAGACAUUUCACCUUGGAUACUUUCACGUCUUCUAUCAUAUCAGAGCCUGAUCAUCACCUUCUUUUAUCCUACACAUCCCAUCGUGACACAUGACCUCACCCCUUUCUCGAUUAGGAGGAGAUGUAGAUCAAUCCUCGAUCACCUUGGUUGUGCUUUCAUACAUCUUUCGGACUUUAGGUUCAACAUCUUCCAUGAUGGUAGGGCCUGACAGAUUGUUGACUUAUUAGUGACGAUGUUUUCACUUAGACAGUUGACAUGUUGAGUAUUGAUUUGCUUGCUCUUUGCAUUUUGAGCACUGAUCAUUAUUAUUGUUAUUCACCAGUUAGUUUUGUUUUGUUAACAUGGUGUCAUGAUACAUGGUCCUGUUUGGCAUAACCUAUCUGAGGUUGUACAUUUUCAUUACAUGAUGGAUGAACAUAUUUCAGAGUAUAGUAGUUUUGAGGCAUUUUGCAUCUCUGUCUGUUCAUCAUUGCAUACUGGGGCAUAUCAUCCUUCCUCGAGAGCAUCGGCCUUCCACAGGCUUCAUUCACCUUCCAAUCUAGUUGUUGACUCCUUCGAGUCGUCAUACUAGGGCAUACCCCCUCUCCGAGAGCAUCGGACCUUCCAUAGGUUUCAUUCACUUUUCGAUCUAGUUGUUGACCCCUCCGAGUGGUCAUAUUGGGGCAUACCCCCUUCUUCGAGAGCAUUGGACCUUUCAGUAGACUUUCAUUCACCUUUUGAUCUAGUUGUUGACCCCCGCGAGUUGCAUACUAGGGCAUACCCUCCUUCCCUAGGAUCAUCAGACCUUGAUCAUGCUUCAUUAUCUUUUGACCUAGUAGUCGAUCCUUAUGAGUUGUCAUACUGGGGCAUAUCCCCUCCUACUGAGUUUGCUUGCUUCGUUAUCCUGGUUAUCCUUUGGCUUUGGGCCACUUGAUUAGAUCACCAUCAUGUCAGUUCUGUUUGAGUCAGGGUCGCACCUAUAUCGAUCGAUCAUCAUUCUGUCUGUUUGAGUUUUCGGGACUGCACCUAUAUCGAUCAGUCAUUCAUCUUGUCUGUUUGAGUUUGAGUCAAGACCGCACCUAUAUCGAUAGGUCAUUCAUCUUGUUUGUUUGAGUUUGAGUCGGGACCGCACCUGUAUCGAUCGACCAUUUUCCUAUCAUUUCCAUGUCAGUUUGAGUUUUCGGGACCGCACCUAUAUCGAUCGAUCAUCCUCUUGUUAGUUUGUGUUCAGUUUGAGUCGGGGCCACACCUAUAUCGAUCAGCCAUGUUCCUAUCAUUUUGUGUUCAAUUUGAGUCGGGACCGCACCUAUAUUGAUCGGUCAUCAUCUUGUCAGUUUGAGUUUGCGUUUUUUGGGCCGCACCUAUAUCGGUUGGCCAUCUUCCUAUCAUUUCCUUGUCUAUUUCAGUUUUUCGGGGCCGCACCUAUAUCGACCGGUCAUUUAUCGUCUUAUCAGUUUCAGUUUGAGUCGAGACCGCACCUAUAUCCAUUGGUCAUCAUCUUGUCAGUUUGAGUUUGCGUUUGGGAGGUCGUACCCAUAUCGAUCGGCCAUAUUCCUAUCAGUUUGUGUUCUGUUUGAGUCGGGACCGCACCUAUAUCGAACGGUCAUUUUCCGUGUCAGUUUGAAUUUUUGAGGUUGCACCUAUAUCGAUCGGCCAUCUUCCUAUCAGUUUGUGUUCAGCUUGAGUCGGGCCCGCACCUAUAUCGAUCGACCAUCUUCCUAUCAUUUCCUUGUCUAAUUCAGUUUUUUUGGGACCGCACCUAUAUCGAUCGGUCAUCAUUUUGUUAGUUUGAGUUUGCGUUUUGGGGGCUGCACCCAUAUCGAUCGGCCAUCUUCCUAUUAGUUCAGUUCGACGUCCAGGGUCUUUGUUCAAUAUGUCAUUCAGAGUCAUUCCUCUUUAGCCAUAUCAUUCAGAGUCACAGUUCUUGGUAUUCAUAUCCACUGGCAUUGCACAUCUAGCCUUCAUGGUUUGCACUUGACCUCAUUUUCCUCACCUCGUCACCCUAUGCUUAUCGCCUAUUCUUCAUUGCCCUUCUAGACUUCUCCUUCCACUACUCACGACACAGUCAUUUGAAUUCACGACACAUACUUUGGUCAUGUUGUUAGGCACCGCGCAUUUGGCAUUCUCAUGUAGUUUACAGACAGCCAUUCCCUUUGGGCACAGACUUCCCUAUACUCUAGGGUGGUUAGGUUGUUAUUCAUCUUCGACGUUGGUUUUUCGAACCACUUGUGGAGAUGUCUUAGAAAGAGUAUGGGUCCUUGGUACGGCUUCAGAGGCACUUUGAGAUAUCCACUCUCCUUUUAGGAUUUUAGGACUCCUUCUGUUCCUCUGAUGGUUUGGGUGAGUUUGUGUUCUACGUGUAUACCUUUAGGGGUUUUUUUUUUUUUUUUCUUUCUUUCUUCUGUAGAGUUCACUUUGUUACACUCACUAUUCACACUUUCUUUUCACUCUAGUGUUUAUGUUCCUUACACUUGUGAAUUCUACCAAACAUGGGCAUAUUUGUAAACCCCUUAAAAGACCAAGGGUUCUUUUCAUUUGUUUGGGACCACCCGGGGGGAGAAUUUUCCAUUCAUUUUUUUGAGAUGAGAGGGGACCCUUUUUCUGCCAGGAAGAAGCCGCAUGGACAGGUGGCCAAGGGCAUGGUUGGCCAUGAGGGUGGUUGAGAGGCCAUGCUUGCUAAUCGAGAAACAGGAGAGUGGGUGAUAGCUGUGAUAGGAGGGUUUGAGGUUGAGGGGUUUGGAAGGGCAGCUAAGAGGAGCAGAAAAAGGGGACUGAGUUUUUUUUUUGAAAAAAAUAAAAAUCUAGAGAGUUGAAAGAGAUGACAGGGAAGAGCACAUGGAUGAGAGCUAGAGAGAGAACACAAAAAUAUGAGAGCUAGUUGGAGGGGAAGUUUUGAAGGACGUUGAGGAAAAAUGCAGGAGAGGAGUCCAGAGAUGAGGAGAAACGAAGGAAAGGGAACUGGCUGACAUUUUUUUUGGGAUUAAGAAGAAGGAAACUGGAUGAGGAAGCUUUUCGAAUAUGGGUUGUUUUUUUUUUUUUUUUUUUUUUUUUAAGCAUGGAGGUGAGAAAAAAGCUAUACUGAGAGAGUGAGCAGCAUAUGAGCAAGAAAUGAACAAAAACUGAACGGGAGCACUCUCAAAUAAUGCAGUUUAGAAUAUCACCCUGGAAGCUCCAUGGUUUAGAUCUAGUCAAAGAUUAUGCGCUUACAUAAGUUGCAAUUCUUUGCAAGAAGUUGAUGCAUCAAAAGUUCUGUAAAAAAUUCCAUAGAAUCCAGCCAAAGGUCAUCACUCAGGUACGUUCGUUGCCUCUCAUAUUCAUUCAGGUGUUUUGUUGUGAUUUUCAUUCGGUACCCAUUGAUUUAUUUAUCAAUCGCCAUACUUGCUUCAUUUUAUUAGUAGAGACCCGACUUUAGAGACUUAGAGGAAUGCUAUGGUCUUUAUCGUACCUUCCCGAUAAGUAAUCCGACCCCGUUCCCAAUUCGGUUUUUCACAAAGCACCUUUUCCAAAUAAGGAGUCACGCUUAGGGUUUUCUUUCUUAUUUUGUUUACUCUUUUAAAAAUAAAACAAAAAUAAGUGGCGACUCCAAGUCAUUUUCUUAAUAAAUAAAAAUCAUUUUUCAAAUAAAAAUCAAGCUCACCAUCGAGUGGAAAACGCAUGAGCCGAAAUGCGGGGUCCACACUAAGUUGUAAAUAUUUGUUGAAUAUAAAAGGAAGUAAAUUUUUUUAAGUGGAUUGUUUUAGACAAAAAUAAAUUUAAAAAAAAAUUACAAGCACUUGCAUAGACACCUUAAUAAUUGAAGUUAAUUUUUUAAAUAUUAAAAUAUUGAUAUUUAACAUAUUUAACUUCAAUUUAUCUAUUAAUAUAAUAACACAUUAUUAGAUAAUGUGUUUGCUAUAUCUAUUAUAAAUAUUAUGAUUAAUAUCAUAUUCUUAAUUUGCAUAUUAUGUCAUUUUAUAUAUAUUUUUAAUUAGUUUAAAUUAUUUAUAAAUUGUUUAAAAUGAGAUAACUUAUCACAAAUUACUUUUUCGAAUAAAGAAUGUGUAUAGAAAAAAUUUUCAUCUAAUUUAAAUUAAUUCAAUAUUAUAAAAAAUAAUUCAUAAAAUUUUUCUACAUUUAAAAUAAUAAAUCAAAUUUUCAUAAUCACUAAUUAUCUUUUAAAACAUUCUUUUUUUUUUUAACCUACUCUACUUGUACAACAUUAUCAUUUAAACCUUUUUGAAGUUUUAUUCCUUCUUGCCAACCCCACUUAUAUGACAUACAGAUUUAAUUUCACAAUAAAUUAGAAAUGACAUGAUUUAAAUGAUAUAAUACAAAUAAUAACUAAUAAUUAAAAAUAAUACUAAUAAUAAUUAAUUUUCAAACAUUAAAUAAUUUAAUAUCUAGAGUUAUUAUAGCACAUUUUGAUUUAGACAAUAUAGUUGAAAUAAUGAUGUAAUAAAAAGCUGAUGAUGAUAAAAAAUAAAUGCAUAUGUCAAUGUCAGUUUUUAUGCAAUAAAUUUAUUAUUUAGGAGUGAAAAUUUUGAAAAUAAUUAUACACACUUAAUAUUGAAAAAAUAGAUUAAAUUAGGAAACAACAUCAUUCACAUGCACUCUCACUUUCAUAUAUUUACCCUUAUCGAAAUUAAGUGGAAACAAGAAAAGAAAGAGAGAUGACCCAUUAAAAUAAAGAAUGAAUGUGAUUUAGAAACAGACAAUUAUUUUAAGUUAUUUUUAACUUUCAAUUAUAAUAAUAAGUUAUUUUACUAAACAAUCUUAAUAUAUUUAAUGAGUUAAAUUAAGUCAUUAAAAUAAUUUAAUGGCCCCUUGUGCAAUAUUCAAAUAUGAGAUGAGUGAUUGCAUCGGGGUUAAUGCUUGGUCCAAUGAAUUUUAAGCCGAUAGGAGAUAAUUCUUGUCCCAUCUUCAUAAAAAAAAUAUUAACAUAGUAUGUAACUAUUAACUUCAUCUUAAUGGUUAAGAAAAAAAGGCAUAAUCACAAAACAUUUUUUUAUUUAUGUUGCUAAAAUAUAUGGUCUUGGCAGUGGAUGUUAAUGGCUCUAGGAGGAUGUGAUCUACCUGCAAACGAAACUGAUUAGGCCCAAAACCAAACUCAGUCCGAUUACUGAGAAUCCUCUCUAUAGGGUAUAGCCCAUAUCAUUCAAAAUAAUGUGUUUUUUUUUUUUGGCAAAUCCUUGACCGAUUUCAAAUGAAAGGAUGGAUCAAAACAGUCCCCUAAAGGUAAUAUUACCCAUAUAAGCCUACAUUAUCUCGGUGCAACUUGGGUGGGUUUAUUAAACCCAACAUGAGUCCAACUCAAACCCGAUAUAAUUUAUAAUAUUUAUAAUACAAAUUAUCCUAUAUAAUAAUAUUCGUUUUCUUUUUCUGUUUUCAAGAAAAAAUAUUAAAUUAUAUUAUAUCAUUUAUUUUUUUAUUUUUUUCAAAAAUGUAUAAAUUUACAUUUAUUCUUUUGUUGUUAUCUUAAAAUUGUAUCCUAUUUAUUAUUUAAAUUUUUAUGUAAAUACAUUGAAAAUAUUUUUUUUAAAUAUUAUAGAUGGAUUUUGAAUUAUACAACCCGACAACCCAAGUCUAUCUUGACAAACCCAAAUCUAACUUGAUCAAUCUGAGUCUAAGUUGAACAAUUUGAAUUCAACUCGAGUUUUAAAAAAUAAGAUUGGAUUGAGUUAGAAUUAAUACCUCGUGUUAGAGUUUGGGUUGGAUUUGGUUCGGGUUAUUUAUUUCUCAAUCCAUAUUAGACUCGAGUUAAUCACCAACAUAAGCAACACACCCAAAGUAUUAGACUCAGGUGCCUAGUUCCCCUUCAACACAAAAAUCUCACUUUCUCACUAUUCUCAUAUGCCUAACUCUCAUAUUGAUUUUCCUAACUCAAAAAAUUUCUAUCUUAGAUUUUGAGCUAUUAGGAGGGAGAUGAGAUAGGGUUCACAGCUUGUGGAGAAGACAACCCUUCUAGCUUCAUUUUCUGCCUUCUUGAAACACGAAAAAAACGAAGUCGAAACUCACCUAGAGUACCAAAAUUCGAGGUCUAAAGGCUUUUGGUUUUGUUUGAAUUUCUUGUUUUCAAGUGAAAAAAAAAAAAAAAAAACCUAAAUUUCUAGGUUUUAUUUGCUCGAAUUCCUCUUUCUUGUUCUUGCCUGAAAGCUCCAUAUAAUUUGUUAUUGUCAAAGUCAAACCAAUUUGAUUUAGUGGUUUAACAUGCAUGAAAACAAUGAAUGAUUUUAUGAUUUUUAUUUCCCUUUUAUCAACUCAUUAAUUAUAAAAAAAAAUUAUUUGCUUUAACCCUAGUUUGAAAUCCGUAAUCAUUUUUCUGAUAAUUUUUUUUUCGUAUUUAUUUUCAAAAUUUUCAUUUCACAUAGAUUUCGUUUAUGUGCUAUUUAGAAUUUAACAACUCCAUAACCCAUAAUCAUUUUUUUUUUCAUUUUUUCUCUAUGUUCUGUUUGAUUUCUGAGAAAGUGUGGGAAAAGAUAUACACGAGUCAGAACGGGCUGGGGAUGGGAUUUUAAUGGUUAUUUGAAAACGGGAUCGGGACCACGAACCCCUUCCUGCCCCGAGUUUGGGAAGGGGAUGGAAAAUAAUUAUAUAUUUUGGGAUGAGAAUGGGAUAGGGGGAGCCCGUCCCAAAUCCGCCCCGUUGUCAUUCCUGGGUAUUAAAUAUCAAGGAUCUCCACCUAUUCUUGGGGUCUCCUACCAAAAUCAUUAAACAAUUGAACUUAUGUGACUAAAAAACAAAAUCCAAGGACAAUGGCCCUAUCUAUCCUUAUAUAGUCUGGUGACCAAGUACUGAUGGACCCAAGGCUCUCUAGUAUAUUUUAAAUGUAAGGUCACAAAAUCAAACAUAUCCAACUUUAUAUUAAAAUAUGUAUAUAAAAUGCAAGCAAGUGGGAACUUAUCAAAACACAUCUAUGCAGGUAUAACCAACAAUCAAAUUCCCCAAUUUUCUUAUUAUUAAAAAAUAGUCGUUUGACAAUACACAAAACAUUCAACAAUAAAUAAAGAAAUUCAAAAGAAAUAUGGUGCUUGUACUUCUAAAAUCUCUAUAUUGACCUCUAUUAUAAGUCUUUGAUCUAGAUCAACACCUAUAACAUAAUUAUGUAUAGGAUAUAACUAUGAAUAUAAUAUAAGUUUACAUAUCAACACAAUAAUGUCCUUCAUCCCACUAACCAUCAUUAGGUAUCUUUUAUUCAAAAUGCUAAAUGUUCCUUCAUCCUACUAACUAUUAUUAGUUAUCUUUUAUUCAAAACGCUAAAUGUUCUAUCAAUUGUAUUUUUCGAGGAUGUAUGUUGAAGGUUAAAAACCCUCUAACAAUUUUUGGUUGAUGAGUCAUGAGUGAGUUAUAUCUAAGAAAAAAAAACCGUUAUUAUUAGUAAUAAUCAUUGGUGAUAAAAAGUUAUGUUUGUAUUUAAUCACUAAUAAUCACGUAUUGGAAUAACCAAUUUGUCCAAUUCUCUCAUUCACAUAUCAUCUAAUUCUUGAAUUAUCCCUCUUAACUAAGUAAAAUGAGUAUAUAUACAUAGAAAAGAACAUAUUGUAAAACUAUUCUAUGUUGAAUGGUAUCUUCAUCUUCAAUACUUUUAUACAAUACUAUAUGAAAUUUAACAUGAGAAUAUAUAUGACCCAUUAAAUCCUUCUUAACUAGGUAAAAUAUAUAUACCAAAUUUACAUUAAAAUAAGGUCAAAAUUGAAUUUUAUCCUUAAAUUUCUUAAAGACACUCUAAUCCAUUGGAUUGUCCAUAGAAAAUAUCUCCGAAAAAUGCUAUAGCUCUAAAAACUUGUUGAAAACGUCAAAAAGGAGUUUCAUUUGUUUAUAAUUCAAUUCAUUAAAUUAUGAAUAAUACUAUAAAGGAACAUAGUAACUUCUUCUACAUUAUUAUAUGCACUAUUUCUAUGACGACUUAUUCCUCAAAGUAUGUUUACUAGUCUUUUAAACGCAUCCUAAUCAAUGGAUAGUUGGUAAUGACAAUCUUCUUUGUUUAUUGUAUCAUAAUUUGUUCCAUUAAGGCAUGUCAUUAGUAAUCUUCUUCCUUUGAAAUAGGCAUUUCUGCAUACGUUGCAUAUCUAGCUAUACAAGUUCUAGUCCAUCUUUUAAGUCUUUCUCACUCCUCCUACCUACACAAGUUGUAGCCCACCUUCCAAGCCUUUGACACUCCUAGCUACAUAAGUUGUCACCUAUCUUCUAAGCCUUUGUCACUCGGUAUCACUCUACCAAAUAGCAAAGUAAUCAUUCAAUUUAUCCCAAUUAUUAAAAGUUCAAGCAUAUAAGCAAAGAAGUUACUAAUUGAUUACAUAAUUCACUUCAAUAUCGUUGAAGUCUACCAAAAAAAAAAUUAACUAGUGCAUAUCUGUUCAGCUAGGCUCCUUUCUGAUUACUUACGGACCAAUAGUAUCUGGCGUGUGGAGAGGUGAGGAGGUCUCUUGUAUUCCUGGGACUUGUUUAUAUUAUACACCAGGUUUGUAUCAGGCCCUACAUGGCUCAUGGAAUCCAUUUCUAUGAAAUGGAAGAAGACUACUCACUCAGCUUUUGAACCAAAUUAAAGGUUUCAUGGGAUGAAUGUAGAGGAAAUGGAAAUGUAAGUCUCACCCAUUUAAUUUUUAAAUCAUUUUUUUUAUUUUAUUUUUAAAUUUAAUUUUUUUAUGAAUAAAUUAAAAUAAUUUUUAUUUAAUUAUAUUUAUAAAUAAGGCAAAAUGACAUUAAAUAAGACAAUACAUGAAUUCAUCCUAGGCCUAGGAUUUAAAAUAAAUUUUCAAACUCGUCCCAAUCUAUUCAUCUUUAUCCUCGAUGAAGGUCAUCUUUAUCUUCUUGCAUGCAAAUUACUUUAAUUUCUUCAUGUUCUCUUACUCCAUCUCUCACCUCCUUUGCGGAAUAUAACACAACUUAAUAUGAAAUAUUAGCCCAAGAUUAUGCUUGUUUUGCCCUCAAUGAUUCUUAUGAUGUUUCAGAAUGAUCAAUCAAAAUUGGGUCUAGUGUAUGAAAAUUAGCAAGACCUAACCGCCCAACAAAUCACCACCUAAGUUUAGGCAAUAUCCUUUCACAUUAUGUUCACUUCAUUGGACAACAACAGGACCAUGACAUGAAAUUAAGCAAACUACCAACAUCAUGUUCACUUCAAUUAUUAUUAGUUUCAAAUUAUCCUAUAGAUGUAAAAUUUAUUUUUAAAAUAAUAAAAUUUAUUUUUUUUAGAGAAUUAUUAAAGACAUUUAUUUAAUCUAAAAAAUAAAUUAAAUAAAUUUAUAAAUAUGCUAAUUGACCAAAUUUAAAACUAAUAAUGAUUUGGUGUAUUUGCACCAAAUCUCAUGAACUUCUUUUAGGACAAGCUAACGUGGCUAUGUAGCAUCCUCAUUUGGUUUUCAAAGUCAAUUACUCAACCAAGAAAAGUGAAUUUUUCCUUCGCUUUUCACCCAAUUUUCUCAUCAAAUUUUCCGGGAAAAUACCUAUAUUUCAACAUUUUGCUUACUACUUCCCCUCGUUUGUUUUGUUUCACAUCAUUUUCCUAGCAUCCAAAUCCAAAUAUAAGAACCUGUCUUUUAACAUUUUCUUUUCCCUAAACACUCACUAUAGAAAGUGACGAAAAAAAUAUAUUUUCAUACACUUAUGUAAAAAUAAUUAUAAAAUAGAAACCCUUUAAAUGUAAUUCAAGUUUUAUACGCUCACCCAUUAAAAGUAGUGUGUAGGAUGAUCAAAUAUAAUAUUUAUAAUAUUAAAAAAAUAUUUUGUUAAAAUAGAUUAAAUAAUCUUCAAAUUAUAAAUCUAACUCUUUCUAUGUUUUUUUUUUUUAAAAGUAACCAAUUUUUUAUAUAAAUGUCUUUUACCAUUUCAGGUAUUUAUAUAUAGGUUUUAAAAGAGAGUUUAUUUUUAUAAUAAAAUAAUAAGGCUAUUUUUGUCAAAAUAAAGUUAAAAAAUGAUGAGAAGUUAAAUUUCAAAAAUUUGAUUUUCAAAAACCUGUUUAGUCAAAUAAUUCAUUAUUAAAAGGUAAUACCACAAUGGUCAAAGGUACCUUUUACCGAAAAGUAUAUAAAAUACUAAUUUUUUUAAAUAGUUGUUUGAAAUUUAUAUUUUAUAAAUUUAGGUUUCUAUUUUUUGGUUUUUUUUCAUAUGAGUGUAUGAAAACACAAUUUUUUAAGGGUUUUUUUUUUUUUUUACUUGCUUUAAGACUUAUAUCUUUGGACUUUAAUGUUUUUUAACUUCUCACUUUUUAUAAAUAACUUUAUCCUAAUACAAAAUGUAAAAUAUUUUUAUUUUUAUCUUAAUAGUAAAAAUCACUUUUUCUCCUUUUUCUUUCCAACCUAACUUUAUUGUUAAAUUAUUUCUAAAAUUUUUGGAUAGUUUUUAUUUUGAUAACUAAUCAAUAGAAAAAGUCAUUAUGACUUCAAAAAACAAACAAACAAAUAAAUACAUAAACAAACAAAGACCACCUAAAUCUUUCUCAUUUUCCUUCAAAAGUUGAGAAUUCUUAGAGAAUUUUAUUUGCUCGUAUUUAAUAUUAGAAUAAAAAAUAAGGGAAAAAAAAAGUUAAAUAUAAUUAAAAUUAUUAAAAAAAAUUAUAUAUUUUUAAAUUAUUUAAUUUUUAUAUUGAAGAAUUUAAAUAAAUAAAAAUUUUAAAAUAAUAUAUAAAAAUAAUUUAUUGAUUUUAUUUUUUUUUUUUUUUUUGGCCUUUUUUUUCCUUCUACAUUUUGCUUUCUCUUUUUUUUUUCAAACUCCCCGACAACUAAGCAUAACAAUAAAAAAGUAAAAAAUAAAUUUAAAACUAAUAAAUUUCUCUGUAUACUUCUUUAAAUUCAUUUUAUUUAUUUUAAUACUUAUAUAAAAAUUGAAAUUUUAAACACAUACAUUAUUAAACAAGUAAACAUAUCAACAUCAGUGGUUAGGGUCCCAUUUUCUGGUUCUGUCCAUCUCAUUUUCCGCUCCCCCAAACAGUGGCGGAAAUCAUUGGCAGUGACUAGUGAGAAGCUCCAAAUACAAGCAAAAGAAAUAUGACCGUUAGAAUGAGUGAGACAGGAAGUCAAAAGACGAAAGGACUUAUGAAUAAUUGAAUUAUAACAGCAGCUCAGCUCUUAUCUGAAGCUGACACAGCUCAGAAACCCAGGCCCCAGAAAAGAAAAAAACAAUUUCCCUCCAACCACCAUCUAAUGAAAUUUUCUAUUAAGACGGCGACACAAUCAUAACCCUCAAGUAAUAUAAAAAAUGAAGCUGGGACGGAGAAAAAAGAAAGGGGAAAUGGAGUGUGCAUCAUUCAACAGCAACACAGAGAUAAUUUGCUGCAAAAAGCAGAUAGAAAAGAAAAUGAUGAAUGAUUCAAUACUUUGAAGACUAAUGCAGAAGAUAUAUUGAAGACCCAAAUGUAAAAGGCAAGAAAAAAGAAAAACCCAGAUGAGUUUUUUCACCAUCCCAACAACAGGAAUCAAGUCAAAAACAACAAAGAAUAGUAAUCAUGUAUAAGAAAGAAGAAAAAAGCACAGCCGAUGAUCCAUCCAUCCAAAUCUGUACAGAAACAAUCUCUCCAGCUCUCUGAUAUUUUACCCGGUUUUUAUGUGUUUAAGAGCACCUCUGGUAGGGCAAUACACAGGAGAAGGUAACAUUUAAAUAACAGCCAAUGCUUUAAAAAUGGAGAAUCCAAAUGGGCUUUAUCCUCAAUCAGAUUGCUCUCUUACAAGCAGUAAACAUCAUUUUUUUUUUCCCUGGAAAACAAACUUUGGAAGGUAGUACCUUGAUCUAUUGAUCUGUUACUGAGUGUUUAUAUUUUGGGUGAGUAGCAUUAUUCACCCAGUUGUCAUGUCCGUGUCAGUCCUAUCCAUGAAUCGCCUCUGAAGUAUGGCACUCUGAUUCAUUUACCUUGUUCUCCACGUCGCCUGAACCAGAGUUCUCCUUCAUGGACUCAAGGUCCAUGCUGGUUGUUCGGCUCUUCCUUCGGUCCUGGGAAAAGAUUGUACAAGCCAAAACUAUCAGCUUCUCAUCAUACCACAGGCUCAUUUGCAGUAAAAAUUUUAGAAUGGCAAAGCAUCCAUCACUAGAAUUGACCUACACUACUAUAACUAGAAACAUGUCUCCAUUGAAUAGUGGGAAAAAAAAAAAAAAAAAACCAAAAAAAAAAGGGUUUUCAUGGGGACAAGGGGACAAAAAAGAUGGUCAAUGUUAUAACUUGUACUGAUUUUGGAUUUCACCAAUAAAGCAGGGGUAGAAACAUUAACAGGGAUAUGCAUAAUGGUAGAUAAACAUUGUGUUGGACAUAGAAAAGCCCCUAAAUCUAAAUAUGGGGAUUUGAGGACACAACUAUAUCUGCUUGUGAAUAUGCUAUAAGAAACAAUAUCUUAGUUGAGUUUCUAAACAUAUGGAAAGACCCCAUGAGUUGUCUCGGUUAGCCAAAUCCAAGAUAGUAGCUAUGGUGCAAAACAGUACAAGUCUCGGGUAUCAAGAGAUCUUACAUUGUCAAAAACAAUAAAAAAGAAAUAAAUAACUUUACACCGUCUCAUAUCACAAGCAGAAAACAAAUUUGCUUUUGCACAAUUUCUAAGUAAAUAGAGGUGAAACUCCUCAUGAAAAGGUUUCAGACUAGUAUUAAACAGACUGGUGUGAAUUUUUAAUGAAUGGGACAAUGGUGGAUAUGUUGCUUUAAAAUCAAAGGACAAAGGUAAAUGUAUAGCAUGACUUGAUUGGAAAUACGUGAUAAAAUCAGUUGUGAGUGACAGAGAAAAAAAUCAAAUUGAUUAUUCUUUAUCAAUUUUAUAAAAAAUUAUUAAAAUAUAGUAAGGAGAAAUAAGAUAAAUAAACAAGUAAUUAAUUGUUAACAUUUGAAGGAGAAAAUUGGUAAGCACCUCACGAAAUGGGUAUUCAUCCUGUUCGAGCAUUCGAACAACCUGACUCAUUUUGGGUCUCUUUUCUGAGUCAGGGUCAACACACCUAAGGGCGACAAGAAGAGCGCGUUUUAGAGCACGUGUUGUGGGCUUAACUUCAAGGUUUGGAUCCACAACUUCUUCAGCUCUUCUUGUCCCUACCAUCACUUUAAGCCACUCGACAAGAUUAACCUGCCAUGAGCAUGAACAGCUUAUCAUAGCUCUUCUUGAACAAGCCUGUAUAUUUACCUUUCGACGAAAGGAGAAAGAAGUCCCCAAUGCAUUGGACAGAGAAAUACCUCAUUAGCAGGCCGGCCAUAGUCAACUGGAUCCCUUCCAGUAACUGCUUCCAGCAGGAGAACACCAAAGCUGUAGAUAUCACUCUUCUCAUUUAACAAGCCAGUAUUAGCAUAUUCUGGUGCCACAUAACUGAAAUCCAGAGAAAAGAUGUCAGGUUCUGAGGCUCUCAUAAAAAAUUUAUAUCAUACAGGUGGAAAAACUAUAAAGACUAAAGGGGACUUAAGAUGAACAUAUAAACAUACCCAAAUGUUCCCAUUACUCUAGUCGUUAUGUGGCUUUCACCUGAGCCCAAGAGCUUGGCCAAUCCAAAAUCAGAAACCUUUGCAUUGAACUCAUCAUCAAUCAAGAUGUUGCUUGAUUUUAUGUCUCGAUGAACAACUUUCGGUUCUAUUGCCUCAUGCAAAUAGGCAAGCCUGCAACCCAAUAUGAAACAUUUUUUUGACUUUUUCAAAGUGUGAAAGACCAAGAUGUUCAAUUUCAGUUCUGGAGUAGAUUUCAGUUCUGAAUGGAAUAAAAACAAUGACUGGAGUCUCAAAACUUAGAAAGGAUUUCAUAGAAAUAGAGGAGGUAAUUGCCUAUAUUAAUCUCGGUUCUAGUAACGCAAAUCUUAAUGAUGACACUAUUUUCAGUUGAGAGAUGGACUUACGCCUUGGCUGUACCAAGAAUAACCUUCAUGCGGGCCUCCCAAGUAAGGUUGCCAUAUUGGCGCAUAGCUCCAUGAAGCCACUGUUCUAAGUUGCCAUUGUUCACAUAUUCAUACACCAGCAUCCUAUAUUAAAGAAUAAUAAGUACAUAACCACAUCCCAGGCAAAUCAGAUCGACAAGAUUGCAAAAGAAUUGGAAAAGUACUUUGUUUUUCAACGAAAAAGUACUUCAUCAUGACAAUAAAUAAUAAUAACAUCCAACAUGCCAAAUGAAUAGGAAUGAAAUAAAUUACCACAUCAAUAAAAAGUGAACAAAUCUUACCUGUGAACUCCUUCUAUGCAAUAGCCCAAAAGUCGCACAAGAUUUUUAUGCCGAACAUGGCCUAUAGCCUCAACUUCAACCCUGAACUCUUUUUCUGCCUGUCCCCUGUGAACCCAUUUCAUAAUGCAGUCAUAAACCAAAUUUCAACCAAAGCAUCAUAAAAAGUGAGAGAAGGUGCUUUUGAUCUAUUCUUACAGAUUAUUAAGAAGCUUCUUCACUGCUACCUCAGCUCCAUUGAUUAGUCUGCCCUUAUAGACAACUCCAUAUCCACCUUCCCCAAGCACAUUUUCAGCUGAGAAACGACUUGUUGCAUACUCAAGAUCUCUAAGAGUAAACCAGUGGCCCCAACCAAGAUGAGACACUUCUGGUAAACCGAUUAAAGGAGAGGCUGAUGCAAGCCCAUAUGACAAUGAAGAAUGCUUCCGAACAGUUCCAGAACUUCCUUCUUCCCCUGAUUGUGAACUACAGCCUCUCUCAUGAUGAUAAAUGGAGCUGCACUGGCUGACAUUGUCAGGAUCACUUGAUUUGCUCACACCCAAAUGAUACAUCUUCUCAGAAUUUCUGUCAGUUGAUUUAUCAUUGACAUUAAGGAAUAAACUUUCAUCAUGAAAAUUCUGAGUCCCAAUCCUGUCAACCUUGAUAUCUUUAGAGACAUUGGGUAUUUGAGAAAGGGUGAAUUUGUCAAGGGUUCUUCGAGAUUUUCGUCUGAACAUGACCCAUAUAGAUAAGAUACAUAGAAUCAAAACUAUGAAUGCACCAACACAUACACCAAUUAAAACCCAAAGUUUUAGACCCAGAAAUUUCUUCGACAAUUCAGUGUCCAAAGAUUUCUGCGAUGACAUUUCUGAUGCUCUGGUAGCAAAGAAUGAAAAUUGUGCUUCCUCCUUGUGAUGCAAACUCAAGACAUUUCCACCUGGGUACCAUAAGCAUGAUAUGUGACUCUACAAAUAUUAAAAUACCUAACAAAUAUAUGAAUUUUUUUGAAAAAUAUUCUGAUGUGGUUUUCAUUUUCCUUGCUGGAACUCUGUGCAAAACAGGCCAGAUAUCAAUAAUACAAGUUACCCAAAUGAUAAAAACCAUUCUUAACCUGAUUCAACACUCAAACUCAGAAACAAAGACUAGCUAAAUCCAUUUGAUGCAAUUUGCAAAAAAAAAAAUAUGUAUAUGUCAAAGUAAUAAUAAGAUUCAUGGCUUCAUCUAAUCAUUUAAAGAAAUUCAUAUACAUUCCUGUUGACAGCUUCAUAGGAGAACAGUGAUUACUAGACAUUCCACAAUAAAGAAGCAAUUGUUCCCACAUUCCAUAAAACCUCAUUUGCGUCAAAUCCAUUCCAAUUUUAAAGAAAAAUAUUAAGCCAAUUUCAACAUUCCAUAAGAAGCAAUCACAUACUCAUAUACCUCCUUGGAUGAAAUCACAAAUCCAAAUCUAAGAAAGCAGGAAGAAAAUCUAAGAAAGCAUCACUUAUGAACCAAGUAAGAGAAAGAGAAAAGAGAGAGAAAGUGAGAAAAAUGUGAACACUCCAUCAUAAAGUGAUUCAAAAGAGAAAGCAUUUACCUUUGUGGUGAUCUAAGCUAACCCCCUUGAUCUUCCUCCUUGAGAACCCAGAGAAGAAAAGAAAGGGCUUCUUUUUUAGGCAAGAGAGACACAAUGAGCAUAGAUAGGCCAAUGUAGACCUGAAAUAACACAAACCCACCAAAACCCAAUAGGCCAAAACAAAAGGCAACAGCCCCAGAAGGAGUAGUUUACAAGUAGAGCUUUGUGGCCUGAAGUGGGCCAAAAAAGAAUUGAGAGAAUGAUAAAAGAGAUGUUGAUGAAGGCCAGACAAAAAUCUAAUCUUUCAAGGGAAAAAAAUGCAAUUCAUGGAGAGAGAGAAAAGGAAAAGGAGAGAGAUUAUAUAAUUUAGAGGGCCAUAAAAGCAGAGGUGGGUGAAAUGGUUGGUGGGUUGUGUAUAUGUGGAGGAGAGAGAGCUCAGAAAGCUGGAAAGAAAGCUUGGUUUGCAAUGGAGGAAACCAGAGAAAGAGAUAGUAAAGAGAAAGCAAAUGUGGUGAACAGCGUUUGCAUUUAUAACUGGGUAAAAGAAAAAAAAAAAACUAGGAGAAAAGGGGCAUAGUGUGUGUGAGAGAGAGAUAGAGAGAGAGAGAGAGUCAACUCAAAACCCAACAGGCAACAGGAGGGAACUCCAAAUCUAGCUUCAUGUGAGGUCCACUUACUAAAUUGUCCUCAUGUUUUAAGCCCAAUAACUAAAAUAAAUAUAAUAAUUUAGGUGUGAUUUGAAUAUAUAUAUAUAUAUAUAUAUAUAUAUUAUUUUAAAUUUUUAAAAAUAAAAAUUUAUAAUUUUCACACAAAAUAUAAAAAAUUUACCUUAUAUUUUCAAAAAUUAUUUUUAAAAUUUAGAUUUUUAUUUUUUGAAAGACUUUUUAUUAUUUUUUAUUUUUAAAGUGUUUAAGAUUAUUUACAUUGUAAUUAUUUUUAUUUUAAAAAUUAAAAAAUGACUAAAAUUGUAUCUUAAAUUUUUAAAUUUAAACUUCAUUUAUUUAUACUAUUAAUUCUUCUUAAUUUCUUGAUUUUUAAAUUUGUAAAAUUAUUAUCCUUUUUUAUUUCAUGAUAACUGGGUAGAUUUUAUUAACAUUAUUAUUACCUUCCUUAUAAGAAAAAAAUAAAAUAAAAUUCAACUUCUAACAUUUGUAUCAUUAAGAAAUUAGCUUUGUUUCCAUGUUUUUUAUUUAUUUCUUCUUUACCCUCUUUCCAUAAGUAUAAAUAAGAAUUAUUAAAAUAUUUUUCCCUUUUAAUUGAGGGAGUUAUAAAAAAAAUAAUGCACUCAAUUUUAAAUUAUCUUAUUUUUCAUAGAUUUAGAAAAUUAUUAAGAUUUUUCAUAUCGAGUCUAUUAAGAUUAUGUUUGAUAAUAAUUUUAGAAAACGUUUAUAAUCUUGCUAAUACUUGAAAAUAUUAUUUUUCAAAUAUUAAAAAUAUUGAAAACGAUUUCUAAAAUUAUUAUCAAAUAGACUCUAAAUUAACUUUGUAAAACUUUUUCAUAUAUUUUUUUCAUUUUUCUCCUCAAUAAAAUUGAAAUUUCACCCUCUUGCGCAUGCAAAAAACAUAUCAACCGUUUGUUUGUUUGUUAAUAAGAUUAUUCGAAAAAUGAUACGAUAAAAUUAUAAGAAAUUCGAGGGGGACACAUGAAGUGUCAAAUUCACACCCAUGUGAUUCAUGGGUCAUCAUCCUCAUCACUCCAUCUUAUGUUGUCUCUGAUAGCUAUAGUUUUAACAAAGUUAUUUGCAUAAUUUUUAUUUUUUUCCUUUUUAUCUUAAAAAUAAAUUACUUUCACCUUUUUUUCUAUACCAAUCUUUCUAAUAAAAUAAAUGCAAUUAAGUUGGCAAAAAAUUAAUAGGAUUGGCCCAAUGAUUGGGAUCUUCAAUAAGUUUACAAUAAUUUCAAAAUAAAAUUAUAAAAACACAAAACCUAAUUAGUACAAAAAAAAUAUUUGGAAUCUUGGACAUGUGAAUUUUUAAAUUUAAAAUUAAAUCUUGAUGACAUAAUUUUAUUUCUAUUAAAUUGAACUAAAAUUAAUGCCUAAUUUAUGUCAUGCAAACUAUCAUAAAAUUGAAAAUAGUUUUAAAAUAUCAUUUUAUAAAAAUAAUUUUUGAAAUUUAUUCUAUUUGGCAAAGAAAAGAAAAAACAAAUCCUCAUUUUGACUUUUUUAAGUAACCUAUUUUUAAUUUUUAGAAAAUAUUUAUGAAAAUAAUUUUAAAACGAGAGAGAGAGAGAAAGAGAGAGAGAGUGAGUGAGUGACAGGGAGAUAUUUCUUAGUCUAAAAAGAGGAAUAAGGAGAAUAAUGGCUUCUCCAAUCAAACAAGCAAGCAAAGUCUUUGUCUUAAAUACAUUUUACAUCAAAAGUCAAUUCCACUGGAUAAGUAUGUGCUUUCCACGUCGCCCAUAUUUAAACUUCUUAAAUACAUUUAUUUACUUUUGAUUUUUAAAUUUAAUAACAAUUUUUCAAAAAAAAAAAACUAAAAGUAAAAUUUUAUUGUGUUGACGACCGUUUUAGACAAAUUUUAAUUUAAUAUUGGCAUUUUGGACUUGUUUCAUAAUUGUUUUUAAAAAUUAUUUUAAAAAAUAAUUUUUUAAACUAGUUUUUAAAAAACUAAUUUUUGAUAUUUUGUAAAAUAAAAAUCUAUUUAAAAACUUCAAAUAUUUUUAAUAUUUUAAAAAUAAUGUUUACAUCUAAAACUUUAUUUUUAAUCAUUAUGGAUAUUUAUAUAAUUAUUUUUUAAAACAAGUCUAGAAAGACAAGAGAAAAUGACUAAAAAAUUUUAAAAAUAUAUAUAUAUAUUAUCUAAAAACACCAUUUUUUGUUCUUAAAAAAAAAAAAAACAAUUUUUUUGUUAUCAAACAUGUUUUUCAAUUUUUCCUUUUUAGAAAACAAAAAAUUAAUCUCAAAAAUAAUUAUCAAACACAAACUUAUUCUUUUCUAUAAAACUAAUAAAAUUUGUCAAUUACAAUUAAGACCCCCGAGUCAAUUUCUUUUUUUAAAAAAAUAAUUAAAUUUAUUCAAAAAAACUUAUAAUUUUAAAAAAAUUAAUAUAAAAGUUUUUAAUUUAUAUGAUAAUUUUUUAUGUUUAAUGUAAUUUUUAUAAUAUUAAUAUUGUCCUUUAAAAAUUAUCACAUUGAUUUCGAUUUCAAUUUUUAAUUAAAAUAAAAAAAUAAAUAAAACUUUCUCAAACUAGGGCUAAAGAUGAUUAAAAUUCAUAAAAAAAAUAAAAAAAAGAAGUCAUAAAAAAUUUUCACCCGUUAAUCCUAAUCAAUUCUCAGUGAGUCACUCAUACAUGGAAUCAAAUUAAAAAAUUUGGUUUAGGUAGAGGCAGUGAAUAUAAUAAGCAACUAAUGGUUUAUUAAAAUAUUAAGAUUAGUUAAAGUUUGAGUGGUAACGGUCCAAAAAGGGCAAUUAUGUCAAUAAAAGUUAAACUAAACCUAACCUUGUGGACUUAAAAAGAAGUGUCUGGGUGUGUUGAAUAUGAUGAGAGGUGGCUUGGAAGGAGAUAAAGCCUCCAUUUGAGGGAUGAACAAAAGCUUUGAUUUGAAGCAUUAGCUUUUGAUUAAAGUAUGCCCUAAAACUUAUCUUUUUCAAUCUUUUUUUGGACUUACAUUUAAUCUAUGGGCACAUAUGCUGUGUGUUUGUAUUGCUCAAACUAGCCAACCAACACCCAUUUGAUGCCUAAACCCAACUUUGACUUUGGCCCAUGAUCUUGACCAUCUGAUUUCUUCUCUGAAUCGGACGGUUGUAGACAUCCCAUGGGGUAUUGCUUUUAGUAGAUGAACGAGCAUGGAGGUGGACCACGUGGAUGGCACAUGGGAGGGAGGGCACCAUUCCUCAUGAGUCAUGACCCACACUUUUCAAUGUCACGAGCGUAGACCCCUUUCUCUUUUUGUGAUUAGAUCUAUUGAUGGAGAAAUGUUUAGAUGUUUUCAACCAAGUUAAGAUUUUUACAUUUUUUUUUUACUUUAAUAUUAAAGUUAUUAUUAGAAUAGAAGGAAUUUAUAUUAAAGAAUAUUAUUUAGUGUGUGCGCCUAACCUUUCUAUGAGGAAAAAUAAUAGAAAAUUGUAUAAUUUAGUGGUGGUUUGCAUAAUUUUUUAUUUUUUUUCAAAGUAGAAAAAGUAGUAAUAAGUUUUAGGAAAAAUUAAUACUAAAUAAAAUGGGAUAAUGGUGAUACGGAUUCUGAAAAGUCACAUAUCUCAUAAAUUCAUAUGACAAACCAAAUUUAUUACAAAUUUUUUACUCUUUAACGGCGAUUUAAAAUGUAACUUGCUAGAAAUAAGAGAAAAAAAACAUUUCUUUGUUUCACUUCACGUCUCAUCGAAAUUUGUAAUUUAACUAAUUUGAUCUUCUCAUUGUCAUGUUGUAGUCUUAAUAUCCCUUCUAUUAACGAUGAUGUAAAGAAAAUUUAGAGUAUUUUUCUUCAAAAUGCACAUUAAUCUCUGUCUCUCCAUGGAUAUUUUCGUUUUUUGUUUAAAAAAUCAUCUUUAUAGUCAUUUUAAUUUCUCAGGUUUUAUUUUGAGUAUAUGAGAAUCCCCUUUAUAAUAUUUCAAUUUCCAAGGUUUCUUUGAUUAUAUGAGAGAUUAUUUCCAAUUAUUUGAAUUUCUAGGGUUUUUAUUUAGGAUAUCCUAAAAAAUCUUUUUUUUUUCAAAGAUCUAUUGCAAAACCAGAGUAAUACUAUUAGAAAAUUUAUACUUCGAUUCUUACAUUUAUAGAGUUGACAAUUUUAUGACUCAAACGUAAAAAAAAAUUAUAUGACUAAUUAUAAUGUCUUCUAUCUUAUGGUUUUUGCUACAUUUUAUUAUUAUUGUCAUUAUCAUUUUUCAUCAUUUACUUUCUUUACUUGCUUCAAUUUUGCUUUUUUAUGCAUUCUUGAAGGUUUUUUUGUAUUUUAACGCUGUUCUUUUUCAAUUUUAAGGUUGAUUUUUAGGAGUUUUUCCUUUAAGGCUCCAUUUAUGAAACUUAAGAAAAAGAAAUUUGUCAUGCCAAUAGCUUUAGGAAUCAAAUAUAUGUUUAAUCCUAAAAUUUGUUUAUACAUUUAUCCCUAUAAGUUUUUUGUUUCUUUUCUUAUUAAGGUCCUCAAUGUAUUUUUGUUUUAAUAGAAUUUUUGGUUUUUUAUUUUUAGGGGAAAACAAAUUGUCAUACCUUUUCAAUAGAUUUAAAAGUAAAAUAUUUGUUUAAGCCUAAAAUUUGUUUAUACAUUUAUAUAAAUAUGCAUUUUUAUUUUAUUUUUUAUUUUUCAAUAUGACAAUCAUUUCUUGGAGAAAGAAAAAAUAGAGAAACAAAUGCUUCGAAAAGGACAAAUUUUGUACUUUAAUGAUAGAUUCUCAUUAGCACACAUCUUGAUACUCAAGUUGGUUGUAAGCUUACAAUGUUGACCUUAAAAAUCUAUGUUGCUUAUUUUUGUUGAAUAAAUAAUAUGAAUUAUUAGUCAUUAGUAUUGCAAUGAUGUUACUCACAAAGCUUUUUAAUUCAAGAAAAUGCUCUUAUUUUUCAAAAAAUAAUAUGAGAUUGCUUAAUGCAUAUUGGCAUGUGACUUUAAUUAUUUCUACUCAUUAUUGCAUUUGCAUUCAAUUUAUGUCACUUUAAACACUUGAGGGCUAUUAUUCCAUCUAAUGUAGGUUUGAGUCAAUUUACACUCUUUUUUCCUUUUAUAAAAUAUAGAUACUAUAGGAACUUUUAAUAUAAAUACACUAAUAUUAUAAUACAUUAAGAUAAGACAUAAUUAGAAACUUUUAAACUUUGUUUAUGAAACUUACAGUUGUAAAUUAUCAUGCUAUAUAAAUAUAGUAUCAAUUUGAAUCCACAAAACUUGUAUAUUUUCUUUUUUAAAUAAAAAUCAUUAAGUAAUAUUUCAAUGCAGGUAUUAAAAAACAUCUCUAAUAAUAUUACUUCUAUCAUAAAAGUUUGGUAUAAUAAAAAUGCAUGAUAGUUACAACAUAAAUAAACUCACAUUAUGAUACACUAUAGCAUGACUUAAUUUAUAAAGUUGUGAACUUUUUUUAUGAAACUGACAAUUAUGGAUUGUCAUGCUAUAUUCCCUACGAUGCUUUAUAUCACAAACCAACGAAAGAAGACAAAUAAAGCACCACUUUGAAUUCAUAAGGCAUACAAGGUUUUCAAAUAAAUAAUUGAGUACUUUGUUGGAAAUUGUGGACUAAUAAUAACUUAGAAAUACUUUCUUAUAAUUUUCAAUAGAAGAUGACAAAAUGCAAGAUAAAGCUUUUGACAUAACUUAUAAUGUUCAAUGAUAGUGAAGUUCGAGAUACCAUUUAUAGUGCAUAGGGAACACACAAAGUCCAUGAUGCUUUAUUAAGAAUAACUUAUAAUGUUCGAUGAUAAUGAAGUUCAAGAUACCAUUUAUGAUGCAUAGAGAACACGCAAAGUCUAUGACACUUUUCUUAGGAUUCAUUAGGAUUGUUUGAAGAUGAACAAUGUUAAAAUAAUUUUCAUGUUAAUGAUUUCAUUGUAUCUAUUUAUAUGCUAGUGAACUUUUUCCUUUUUGUUCUCUUAGUGGAUAGUCAAUUAAUAUGUUGUAUCUUUUGAGAAAGAAAUUAGUAUCAAGUAAUUAUCACAACAAAAAGUUAAAUAUUUAGGCAAAUAAGAGUUCGGUUGUUUCGAUAUUUGUGACAUAAAUUUUUUUCUUGAUAUAAUAUGAUACUUAAUAGUCAUCUUAUACAAAAAUUUUAUAUAGAUACUAUUUAACAUAAAGUUUCAUAUUAAUUGUUCAUACUGUAAAUUUUUUAUAAUUAUUUUCCUAGUUGAAUAUGAAUCAAGGUUACUUGAAUACCUCAUUAUUUGGACAUUAUUAAAAAAUGUAGUUACUUAUGAUGAUUUAGGCUAUUCCACAUUAAUGUCAAUUCACUUAUUACUGUUUUUCCUAGUUGAAUAUGAAUCAAGGUAACUUGAAUACCAUACUAUUUGGACAUUGUUAAAAAUUUUAAUUACUUUUAAUGAUUUAGGUUACUUUACAUUGAUGUCAUUCACUGACCAUUAUUCUUUGUACUAUCUACUUAUUGACUUUUUGUAAGAAAAUACAUAUUGUUUGUUUGAAAAAAAAAAUGAAUAGUUUUAAAUUUGACCAUAUCAUGAUGCAUCAUACUUGUAGUACUUUUACAUGAUAAUAUUAAUGUAUUUAUAUCAUAACUAUAAUUUGAUAGGCUAAAAACCUCCCUAACAUUUUACCAUUAAUGAUAUACAAUACACAUGUGGUAAAUAUAAAAAUUCAAUACAUAAAUCUGCAACUACAUAUUUAUAAUGUAUUACACCAACUCAAUUUUGUUAAAAUAUGAUUAACAUCUUCAUCCACUAGAUGCACUCUUUUUUGAAUAAGUUCUUCUACUUCUUCAUACUUGCUACUAUCCCCAGAUUCUUUAAGGGGUGAUUAUUUAAAGAAAUGACAAUCAUGUUUACUAUCGACAUAAUGACAACAAAAAUAUAACCUGUUCAAGUUAUCAUUUCACUCUAAAAUCCUAACAAUUGCCCUUUGUAUAAGUACAAAUCUGCACAUACAAUCACAACAUACUAGAUAUUUACCUCAUCUUCCAUUACUUCUAAUAUUCCUAAAUGACAAUACUUGAAGAUGUCAUGAUAUCUACAUUAUUGAAUACCCAAAAUUAAUUUAUUAAAUUUAAGAAAUUUGGAUUAAAAUAACACCAUGAAAUUACUCAUCAAGAUAAAAUAUUUAGUCACCUACCAUGACCUAUAUUAUUAUAUAUAUAAAAAAAAGGAUGAUAAUCAUAAUAAAUUGAAAAUGUCUUAUGUUGUAAAGAAAUGUAUUUAUUGUGCAUAAGACAUGCUAGGGAGUAUAGCAUAAUAAUCCUCAAUUGUGAAUUCAUAAAAGAAUUAAAUAAUUUCUAAAUUAGGUUAUAUUAUAAUAUACCAUAACAUUCGUAUAUUUAUAUAGUAAAUAUAGUGCAUUGUGCUAUACUUAUAUUUUAUAAUGAAGGUAAUAAUUUUAGAGAUAUCCAUUAAUACUGUAUUGUCGUUUGGUAUUAAUAGAUUAGAUCGAUAUAUGAGUAUCAUUCACUUAAUGCUUUGAAAUUAUUUAAUAAUUUUUAUAAAAAAAAAUAUUGAAAAACCUUGUGAAUUGAGAUCGAUAUUUUAUUUGGUUUUAAGAUUGGUUAAUAAUAGAAUACAUGCUAAGGUAUAUAGUAUAAUCACACAAAAUUGUAAGUCCUAUAAAAUGAUUCAAAACCUUUUAUAUGAGGUCUUGUCGUAAUAUUUUGUAACAUUGGUAUAUUUAUAUUGUAGUAUAGUGUAUUUGUGUUGUACUUAUAAUUUAAAACAAAAUUAAUAGGCUUAAAGAUAUUUUUUUAUACUUUAUUGGCAUCUAAUAUAUCAUAUGAGCGUAUUAACAUCUAAUAUAUCUUUUGGGUCCUUAGCAUCUACAACCAACCUUAUUUGGUAAUUUUUUUAAAUUCUAUAUAAAAAAUAUAAAUAUAUCUUUAUCUUUAAAAAUCACUAUAAAAUUUUAAAAUUUGAGGCAUUAAUUUUUUUUUUGAUACUUUAAUUCUCUUAAAAAGUUUUUAAAACCAUUUACUAUUUUAUAAUUUUAAAAACAAAAAAUAAAAAGUGUAUCCAAAUGAACACCUAAUUUGCCAUGACAAAUAUCAAAUAAAAAUAAAAGUAUAAAUUAUUUUAUAAAUUAAAUACUUUCAACAUCUUAUGUUUGUGAUAAAAAAAAUACAAAAGCAUAGUAUAAUACAAACUAAUGACUUCAAACUCAUGGUUUGUUUCCUCUUCUUUCUCCUUUUCCUUUGGAAUAAAAAUUGAAGAUCAAUUUUACGAGUUCACAUUGAAUUAUUUAAUUCUUAAUUUAUUUGAUGAUUUUUUAUUUGUUAAUUGUUUUAGGAAUAAAAAGUAAAUAUUUAAAAUAAAAUAAUUUAUAAAAGAUUGGUGCUACAUAUAUGUCAUAUUUUUACCAUAAUUUUUAUCAGAAUUUUACUAUCUUGUAAUUAUAAAUAAAUAAAAAUUAGAUAUAAUAAAAAAAUAUUUAUUUAUUAAUUAAAAAUAAUUUUCCACAUCCAAUCAUCACUUAUCUCCUUAUUAGGUGAUAAAAAUAACAGUACAAGUGAUGAGUCACAUGGUCUGACCAAUGUUUUUCUUCAUUAAAUUAUUUAAUCAAAAUAAUCAAAAUAAUUUAAUAAAUUAGUUUUAAUUUAAACAUUUUUUGGACACUCAACUAUACCAUUUUAAUGAUAUAUUUUAUUUUAUUUAUUUUUAAAUUAUUCAUAUAGUAUGGUUUGAGUAGAAAAUUUGAAAUUUGAAUAGAAUAGGGAGAUUAUAAGUCAAAGGCCAUUGAGUGCAGUGUAGAGGAGUGGAGGUGUAAGUGAUGUAAGGGCCAAGCUUGAAGUCAUUGAAAGUCUUUCCAGCUAUAUUUCUAUUUUUGGUAAGUUUGUGUGAGUGUUGAAGAAGUGUAUUUUAAGCCAUAAUGAUAUCAUUACCUUUUCUUUUUAAUAAAAAUAUAAGUUUUUUUUUUUUUGCCCUAGGCUUUCCUCAAUCAUGUCACUUGCUACUCAUGAUAUAUAGGAUGAAGUAAUUAAAAGUGGAGUUUAGUUUGAUCCUUUAUUAUAUAUAAGCUAAAUAUUGUAUUUUAAGAAAUUUUUUAUCAAGUUAGAAUAAUGAUUUUUUUUUUUUUGGUUAGAUUUGAGGAAUUUUUAUUACAAGUGAGACAUAAAUUUCCCAAUUUAUUUAAAUUCAUCAUUAUUUAUCUUCUUCACGAGAAACAUAGUCUUAAAAGAAGACUUUGUUUUUAUUUUAAUAAUAAUAAUAAUAAUAAUAAUUCUUACCCAUAGAAGAUAUAGAUUUUCAAUCAAUCUACUAAAUUUUGUUACCCUAGGCCAAUAGCAAGCAUUGUACUCAAAAUUAUGUUAUGUUAAUUGGUGUCCUUAAUCUAUAUGCUAAUUGGAUCGGUGACCUACUAUCCGUUAUCAAGAUUAUCUUUCAAAUCCUUGAGUUAUAGAUCCUAUUUAUUAUUUGAUUAAUUGACAUAUUUUAACUCCAAUGAGCAUAUGUCAAACUAAGUUCUUAAAAUAAAUUCAAAUCAAAUUCAAUGUUCAAAUAUGGAUUUAAAGAGAUCGAAUUUUAACAUAAAAGAAUAUCUUAUUUUGAAAUCAAUGGUCUUGUCAAGAUAAACUCACAUCUAAAGAUCGAUCUUAAUCUAACUACAAAAUCAAAUUUCAAAUACAACAAAUCAGGUUGAUUAUGUUUUGUUCUUAUUCUUAGAAUUUAGUCCUUAUUUAUCUUCAAGUUUAGCCUUAAUUUUGCUUACAAAUGAUCAAAAUGAAUUAUCAAUGAAUUAAAUCACAGAGAUAAGCAUUCACCAAACCAAUUCUAGUAUCAAUUGUUCUAGAUUAAGGGAUAUCUUAUAGAGGGUUUAUAUAGUAGAUAUGAUUACCAAAAACAUAGUAUAAAGGAAAUUAAAUAAAUAAGGACUCUUCUUUCUUGAAGAUUUAUGCCUUCUUGAUCUUUUUUUUGCAAAAGGAAGUAUUUAGCCACAUAUAAUGACAAUUUCACAUAAUUUCUCUAUAUUUGAUCAUCAAGAAAAUGAAAGAAAACUAUAAAUAAAAUGGAGGAAAAGAGAAAAUUUUGAAUUGCAACUCAAAUUCAAAAAGUGGAGAGAAAUCCUAAGGUUUUUCUAUCAUCUAAUUAACUCCUACUUAUAGAAGAAUAUUAGGACAAUCGACAAUCCCAUAAACUACCCAAAAAUGCCUCUUAAGCAUUCGAAUAUUCUAGAAAAGCAAUAGAACUCUCAAGUACAGGUUCAACGUACAAAAAUUGUUUAAAUCAAUUUUCAAAAGGCUAUUACAGCAAAAUUUGUCAUACCAUUCACUACUUCAGUAUUAGAAAAGCUACCCUGUACCUAAAUCACUUUUGAUCUUGAAAUUGUUGCCUUUAGGAAUCAAUUUGAAACUUAUUCCAACUACUUCAAGUAGUAUCUCCCAGUGCAGUUCACUUUCAUCAUCUUCAAAAUAAUUUUUAAUCAAUUUUUUAUAUUUGAAAUCAAUUUAACUACCUUGCGGAGUAACAUGAAAGCAAUUCCAAAACUGAUUUUAUAGUCAAAUCGAUUUACAAAUUAGUUUAGUGUUACUUCAAAACCUAUGCUUCAUCCUCUUCUCACUUGCUUCCAUUGACCUUUUUGUCUCAUUAAAUUCUUUUAAAUUUAAGGAUUAAAAUUUGUCAUCUUCAUUGCAUCUUACACUCACAUGCACAUUAGUCCAUCAUAUCGGCACUUAGCAUCGCUUUGAGCUAUAGUUGAAGUAAUUAAACACUACAUAUAGAGCAUAAAACUCAAUCUUUUAGUGCUCAAUUUUUUUGAAUGAAUCAAACCCCUCUUGUUAGAUACAAAGUUGAACUUGACAAACUAAACCUUGAGAGCUCCAUUUAUAUAUGUUUAUGAACAACCUAAAAAAAUGCAACGAAAUGGAUAUUAAACUCACUUGAAAACUGAAUUGAAUAUUAAAAACUCAAAACCAAAUUUAGAAAUAAAUUUUAUGCAAAAGUAAAAAUGUGUAAAGAAUUAACUCUAAAAAAGAUAAAUACAAAAGAAAACCUAAGUAAAUGUACUAAAAAUUAGAUUUAGUUAUAAAUAAAAAGGAAAUAAAGGAAAAAUACCCACUAUCCUUUUAUCUUUUUUCCUAAGAAUACUAAACAUUCCAUGGAUGUGAGAUUUUCUCAAUUUUUAGGGGAACUCAUAUUCAAGAAAAUUAAGAUUUCUUUAAGUUAUGCUUGUCCAAAUAUUACAAUCUUAUACUUCAACAUAAGAAACUAUUUUUUAAAUUAAGAUACUUGUGACCCUAAAUUAAGGAUUUUGCUCCAUGCAAAUUCACCACCAAAAAGUUAUCUAUCACACUUUUCCAUGAUUUUCAAAUAUGCUUGUUAUACUAGCACAUAGGUAAACUUAUUAUUGUUUUGCCUACCAUUUUAAGUGAAUGCCUAAGGUCCUUGUAUGCUAUCCAUGGGAUAUGGAAGAAGUUCUCUUACGCUUCUUAGAAAGUAGUCUCAAAACUUUUCUAAACAUCUGUAUGAAACAAGUAGUUUUAAAGUAUACUAGAAGAUAAAUGUAUCAAAUAUUAAAGGAAAUAUCAUAUAUUUUUAUCACAAUAAGCUUUAAGGUGAUGAUAUUACCUUCACUUGUUUGCUCUACUUGAUGUAUUGUCACUCAUUAAAAAAGAUGUCUUCAAUGACAAUCUCCUUCUUUCUCCAAGAGAAUGGUCACUAAGAUGUUUCUAUUACUUUGAAGUGUAGAGUUCUCCUAUAACAUUUCCUUCAAGGGUGCUUAAUAGUGAGAUAUUCAAAUGUUUCAUGUCUGUUUGAGUUGAGAACAUACUUAAGGAGUACCACCUACGUUUAAUACACUUCAAGGUGAGUUUUGUCUUCCGUGUUCCAUGCAUAGUUUGAGGAUCUUACUUUGAUGCUAGAGUAAUAGGUAUGUUAAGAAGAAAUAGUUUAAAUAAUGGCGACCUUGAUUGGACCAAAUUAAAAUCUAAGACAAGGACCUUGAUUGAUCAUAGGACAUAUGUUAUUUUCACCACAUUUUCCUCAAAAGAACCUUUAUGAGGCUUGUAACCCAACUAGAACAUAGUAAGGGGGAAAAAAAACCUUAGAAGGUUUGAUAAUUAAUCAUUAGUAACCCUUAAGUCUUAAACCACCAUAAAAAAUUCUAAGAAUUUUUAGGGUACGUACCUCCAUUUAAGAAACCUCUUUUAAGAUACUAUUUAUAUACCUACCAACUUUUGAUUAGUUUGCCUCUCUUGCCUCCUAAAUUUAGGCACCUCACCAUUUACUUAUCUACUAUAACCUUACCUAGACAUGGACCAAGAGGUAUAAACCUAACUCUGCUCUGUUUCCUAUAAUAUCAUGAGAAUGCCAUUCUAAAAGUAAAAAAGAAAGCUUCAUCACUCUUAUCAUAACCACAAAAACUAAGAAUGUUCCUACACUUUCUCUUUCCCUCAUUUUAUUCUCAUCAUAAGUAAAAAUAAAUUCACCUUUUGAUUUAAAGGCUAACUACACAAAAAGGGAAGACUCACUAGGUGUAUAAACCCAAGUACUUCUCUUUGAUAUCCUAUUUUAAUCAGCAAAGCAUUCUAACAUAGAAAAAAAAAACAUUAGAUCUAAUAUUCUUAUACCAUAGAAAGUAAUUAAAAAGCAAGUAAACAAUGUAGGCAUACAAGGACACAUAAAGAUAUUUUAUCAUUUUGUUAUUUUUUUUUAGCUAGGAACACACUUUACACAAGGUGUACAUGAGCAUGCACCAAAUUAAAUUAUUAUGUUUUGUUAGUGAAAAAAAUGAUUAAGAUUCACUUUUGGAAGAAUUCUACUUAGUACCAUGAGUGCCAAGAAAAUCACUUAUUUCCACUGUUGCAUCUAUUUAUUUUUCAAUUGUUAUAUCAAAUUUUUUGGUUAACAAAUCACUCAAAUAAAAAACGAAAAAAGAAAAAAAAAAAGUUAGUACUCUUUUGAAUGGAUUUUUUGUUUUUUUGUUUUCAAAAAUAAAAAUCAAUAGUAACCCUUAUAAAAUAUGAGAACUCUUUGAAACUUACUUUAAAAAGACAAUGAUUUAAAAUUUUGAGGUAUUAAAUAAUUUUAAAAACAAAUAUUCAAAUGAAUAUUUAGAUAAAAACUUUUUAAGAAUGUCAUAGCAUUGAUAUUUAUAUAAAAUAACUAUAUAUGUAAAAUAUGGUCGAUCUCAAUCCUUUUUUCUAAUGUGACAUGAUUUAAUAUCAAGCUUAAGAUGUUAGGAAAUAUCUCUAAUGUAUAUGAAACUUAUUUAAGAUAGAGCUUCAAUACCACUUAUCUCAUGUAUUCCUCCCUUGCAUGUGAGUUUAAAUAUAAAUGAAGAAAAUAAAUAAGCAGUCAAAUCCAAACUCAUGAACUCUCGAGUUAAAAAUGGGGGUCUAAUUAAAAUUUCGAUAAAUAAAUGUUUGAUAAAUUAAUAAUCUCAUUUAAAUAAUAAAAUCUUCUUGCCCUAACUCAGUAUAGUGUGUAUUAAAUUAAUAACCUCUUGGUUCUAAAAGUAUUUUACAAGAGUUUCACUAUAGUGUCAUUUAUUUAUCCAAAAGUUCAUGUUUUUGGGUAUUAGGAAAAUGGAACUUAACCGGAAAUAAAGCUAAUAGGAACUUAACCUUAAACAAGGUCAAUGGGGACUCGACAAAGAUCACCACCAAAAACAAGGCUAAUAGGAACUUGAUUAGGAACAGGGUCAACAAGAGUUUGGCAAAGAACACGGCCAACAAGAAUUUCACCAUAAGCAAGGUGAGAAACAUGACCUAGAAUAAGACCAUUGAGAACUUGAACUCCAAUUCCAAAUAGGUAAGGGGUAUUGGGAACUGGAAUGGUUGCCUAACAUUCACAAACGAGUUAGGUUUGCAAAUUUCGCCUUCCAGGAAUGACUUUAGCUAAUAAAGAAGUUCUGAAAAUGCUUAGGAAACCACCUUUGAUCAUGUGGAUUGAAAUUAUAUAUUAUACACCCUUAAUCAACUUAUUAGGCAGACCAAAUCAUGGUUAACGGUCAUAAUUCAAUGUUCUCGAUUGUUGUACAGUAAUGGAGAGGGCAUGACAUGAGACCAGCCCAUUAAUCCAUACCAUUUGGCCAAGUGCUUGGGCUCCUUUACUUUCCAAUACUUGCAUUUUCCCUUUCUUUUUUGGGUCCUUGGCCUUUCACUUUCGUUCAGUAGACAGAUUUGUAUCUACAUUUCAAGGCUAAAAUAUUACCAACUUCCUCUUUGUGGGCAAUAAUUUACUUUUGGCAUCCCCCCCUAAAGAUGUACUUUGAAUAAACAAAACGGAAACAUGGAGAUUUCCUGCUCAUGAAAAUGUCACAGAAUUUGUAAUUUUGUUGGUUUCUUUGUGGUCCUUUGACUGUCCAAUAAGAUGCUGUCUUCUUGGAUGCUUGCAGAAGGGCCUUUGAGAAUAACUUCAGAUAUAUUUUAUAUUUCCUCCCACACUCUUGCCAUUAUCAAUGCCCUCAUUCUUCAUUAUUUUAAUAAUGAGCACAAUUAUCUCAAUCAUGCUCUAUUAUAAUCAUAUAGUACAACUAAACAUGUAGUAAAAGGCCCUUGAACUAUGGGGAAAAUAAAAGGGAAAGUAUGGCAUUUUUUGAGGGCAAGAUUCUUUGUGAGACCCUAGGAACGAUUUCUCUUGCUCUAUGGUUUCCUCAGACUUUUUCAACUGUUCACAUUGUCUAACCUAAUGUUGAGUUUGUUUUUGCUUUUGUUUUUGUGUUUUUCUUGUUUUUAUUUUUGUUUUUGUUUUCUUUUUUAAAGGCUAGACACUUUGUUCAGGACAGUCCUCUCUAUAUAUCUUAAUGAUUUGUGGUUAAAUUUUGCAGCAAGUACAUCAUCCAUCACAAAGCUUUCCACUUGCCUAUUUUUUGGUUCAUGAUUUAAAAUAUGAACUCCAUGGGGAGGGAUGCAAGCAUAUUUUGAGCUGUUUCUUAAAUAAAUAGGUAGAUUAGGUUCUACUUUUAUUUUUCAAAUUUUUUUUAGUCCAAAAUUUAAAAACAAUUUUAAAAAUUAUAUUUUGUGUCAUAUUUUAUAUUUUGUUUUAAAAUUUCAGAUCACCUGCAUGUUAUUCUUCUUCUAAAAUAGAAUUAUAUUUAGUAACAUAUUUUAUUUUCUUUUAAAUUUGAGAGAGAAAAAAAUAGAAAAAUUAAAGGUAUUAUCAAAUUUUAUUUUUUUUGAAAAAAAAAUAAGAAAUUACACUCAUGAGUCACCUGCAUCUUAUUCUUUUUUAUCAUACCAACAAUCUUAAUGUCUCACGAGUGAAUAUUUUAUUGAAAUAUUAUCGAAAGUCCCAAAGAAAAAAAGACCCAUAAAAAAUUUUCAAAAAAGUUUCUGUACUUGUUAUUUAAUUAUAAAAAAUAUUUCUUUUUUAUUUUUAAAAUAAAAAUAAAGUUUUAUUACUAAAAUCGUUUAUGCUUAUAAAAAGUAAAACCAUAAUUAAAAAUCAAUCUUAUUUUCUACUUUUGAAAUAUUAAAAACAAAAUUAUAUCCAAAUUAUACCCAAGUAGUGUAUAAGUACUUUCGAGUUUCAAUUAAGCCAUUAGGAGAAUACAAUCCUAAGAAUGUUAAGGGUGGGGUGGGGGGGCUUGUGGUUAUCCUAACAGCCAAGAGAUGCCCCUCGAAGCUAUCCUCUGAAUUUUGUGGAAUCCAUUUUGACCCAAGUUUGAGACUUGCUCUUUUGUUUUAAUUAGGCCAUGGGUGGCCCUCGUGUGUCAUGCAUUAAUGUUGUUGUGAAAUGAAUAUCCUCGUCAUGUUUCCCAAUGGGCCUUGAAGCCUAUUGAAUGAGCUUCACUUGGAACCAAUCCCAAUAAAACAAGCAAGCUGAAAGCCCAGAGAGAGGACUGAGAAGCAAGUAGAGCUUGGACCAACUUUGCUCAGCUAAGCAAAUAUUCUUCAGCUUCCCAAUGUGAGGAGCUAGCUAGCUGUACCACAAAAGGAACUAUGAAUUCAGGGCAGCAAUUCAAUUGCUUUCCUUUUUUUUUUAACUUGAACCUCGUUCUAAAACAGGCCCAUUACUUCUAUCAGCCUAUUAAAAGACAGACCAAGAACAUGUAAUUUUCGUUUGAUCAUAUAUAUUAAUUAAUUCAACCAGAUCAAAUUGUUCAUUUUGAUUUAUCUAAGCUGCCUAACAUGUCUCAUUUGAAUUGUGACACUUUAGCCAGCCAGCAUAAUCAUUCUGAAGUAUCAAGAUUUCAGGUUUUCUGAAUCCGUUGAGUUAUAAAGCCCUUGAAGAUGGAUUGAUGUCUUGUUCAAGUGCUGACAAUUUGGAUUUUUAAACUAACAUGAGUUAAUUCAAAAUUAAGUUGAAUCUAUUGGAUAAUGACCAAACAAUAUAUAUAUUAAUGUUUUAAGUUAUGAAUGGUAGCCGACUUUGCAUAUCAUGCCAAUUAAUACUAAGGAUAAGCCUUAAUCAACACAAAUUACUAUAUCAUUGGACUUGUGGGUGGAAUUGCUUGCAGAGAGAUUAGUCCUUGGAAUCCAAACCCUACAGCCACUGCAAUUAAUUCUAAUUAGGAAUAUAUUUCAAAAGGCGAAAAAAAUUAAUCACUAGCAUAAUAAGAGAACAAUUUGAAAAUUUUUCACAUUAACUAAUUAAGCUCCAAAUGCUCACACCAUUGUCCAUUGAUCAGUUUCUCAUCAGUUGUAACAAGACCUCACAAAUAUUUCUCAUCAACCAAACAAAUACUAUUCUGUCCAUGGAUCAAUUUCACUUGCCAGGAACAAAGUUUGUGGCAUAUGCCCAAGCAUUGUUGUUAACGGGGUCGGCAAGGUGGUCAGCCAAGUUCUCCAGUGGACCCUUUCCGGUGACAAUAGCCUGAACAAAGAAGCCAAACAUGGAAAACAUGGCCAGCCUCCCAUUCUUGAUCUCCUUCACCUUGAGCUCAGCAAAAGCCUCAGGGUCAUCAGCUAGCCCUAGUGGAUCAAAGCUUCCACCGGGGUAAAGGGGAUCGGUGACCUCCCCAAGUGGUCCUCCGGCAAUGCGGUAGCCCUCAACUGCGCCCAUCAGGAUCACCUGUGUGGCCCAAAUAGCCAAUAUGCUUUGUGCAUGCACCAAAUUAGGGUUUCCCAAGUAGUCCAGUCCACCCUCGCUGAAUAUCUGCGCACCAGCCUUGAACCACACUGCCUCCCCAAACUUGACCCCGUUGCGCGACAGAAGCUCCGGGAAGACGCAUCCGAGAGCUCCAAGCAUUGCCCACCUGCAGUGGAUGACCUCAAGCUCACGAUUCUUGGCGAAGGUCUCCGGAUCAGCUGAGAGGCCUGCAGUGUCCCAGCCAUAGUCACCAGGGAACUCACCAGUCAAGUAGGAUGGUGGCUCACCAGAGAAGGGCCCCAAGUACUUGACUCGGUCAGGGCCAUACCAGGGGCUUCCUGAAGAAACUGCUUUAGAUUUUGCCACAGAUUUUCUCAUUGUGACUCUUCCUUGAUCACCAGCAAGAAGCUCAGUGACAUUGGGUGCAAGCUUCACAGCUUGUCCAGCAAGGGAAGGAGAAGAGAGAGCCAUUGUUGAUGAAGUGGCCAUAGAUGUGUAGAGUGAAUAUUGGUUUUCUGAGUAGAGUUGAUGGUGUGGUGGUGUGGUGGUGUGAUUUAAUACCAUAUACUGAGGGGUCCAUAUUAUCCUUAUCACUAUCUUUAUCUCUUCUCCCAUUGGCGAAAAUGAAAGUUUUAAGGAUUUUCUUGGUGUUUGUUUGGAGUUGGCAUGCAUCAGCUUUCCUUCUCCUCCACCAAUUUCUUUGGAGAGUUGGUUUAUGCCUUAAUGGAUGUGGGGCAUUUCCAGCCUUUGCUUUAGAUUUCUUGGCCUCCGUGCACCUAAUCAAAGUUCCACACAUGUUGCUUUCAGAUGAGCUUUAGGAUGUGGACACUGGAGAGCCACGCAAAUUUCAAAAGUAAUAAAAUCUCAAUCUGAAGCAUGACAUGUGAUGAUGUAGAAUUUAUUAAGAGACAGUUAGUUGAGGUAGUGGAACUGUUGUUUUAAUGAAGAUAUUUUAUUAUCAAUAAAUAAAUAGAUAAUAAAAGCAACUAUUUUUCCGAGGUAAUUAAUUUUAUGCUAAUUGUAAACUAUCUUAAAAUUUUAAGACAUACAAUAUUUAACCUAUUUUAAAAAAUGUAAAUUUUAAGAUAAAAGUUACAUUGGACAAAGGUAGAUCUCUCUAUCUAUAUAUCAAUCCAUAUGUCUAUAUAUAUAUAUAUAUAUAUAUAUAUAUAUAUAUAUAUAUAUAUAUAUAUAUAUAUAUAUAUAUAUAAUAUAUUAAGGAUUGACAUGUGGUAUAGUGCAUGUUUCACCUUCUGAAAAGUGGUGGCCGUACCUCUACUUGUGACCUUCCUCUAUAACACAAGGAGAAAAUGAUUAGAGUGGGACAACCAAUUUAGCCAAUCCCUCUGUAAUGGUGAAGUUAGUUAUGGGUGGUUAGAGGGGUUAAUAGAAAGAUACUAAGAGAAUGAAUAAAGAUUUAGAAUGAUACCAAGUUGGCUCAAAUGAUCACUUAAUCCAAUAAGAAAGUGUAUAUAAACCCUUUAGAGGUACAAGGCCUAACUUUUGGCCAUUGUUUUCCCAAGUCUAGAAAAGAAAAUUUUAACCUCCCUUAAGAGAAAACCACAUUUUUCUUGUGCCAAAGAUCCAUAAAAAGAGUGAUCGGACGGAAAAUCUUUGGGUAUACAAAAUCUAUGACACCUAGGCUUUGACAUAUGAGUGAAACCUUAAAGUGGUUAUAUACUCCCUAUGAAUUGAGUCACUAUUGUGGAGGUUGUUGGCAACAGACAUUCUAAAUAGAAACAUCAUGAUAUCUCAUGGAAUUAAGACAUUGUUUCUUCUUAGGUGAUCCUAAGGACAUGCAAUUAAGAAACCUAUGAUCAUAGUAAUUUUGUAUAUACUCUUCGUAAACUAAAAUAUGUUAUUUGAUCACAAAAUAGGAGGAUCUAUAAUUCAAGAAUUUGAGAGUUAAUAUUAAGAUAAUGAUAGCAUAUACUUUGUUAGAUUAUAGAAACCAAUUCAUGGAGAGUCUGCAUGUAGUGGAUAGAAGGUUAGGGACCCAAGCUUUCUCUCGUUGUAAAAUUAUAGGAUACUAGAGUGCAAUUAACUCUUUAUAGUGUGAUGUUAAGUCAACUUCAAAAUUGGAUUUUGAGCGGGCCAAAAUUUUCCUAUAGGUCUCAAUGGUUCUUAUUUGAGCUUCUAAUUCAUCACUACACGUUUCUUUCAUGGAAUUAUGUUUUGUAAUUUGUUAGUAUGUAUAAAGGCAUCGGGGUAAAAUACAAUAUUACAUUAGAUCUUAUAAAUGGUCUUUUCAUAUUAGUUUAAUUAAUUAAUUAGAGCCUAAUAAGGAUAAUUAAUUAAUUAGAACAAGUAGGUUAGAUUAAAUGAACAAGCCCAAAUUGGGCUCAAGUCAUUUAAGCUCAUAAGAAAGCCUUCUAAACCCUCUUAGGGCUUAAAUAUUGGUCAUUAUUUCCCAAAUUCCAUAAAAGAAAACCCUAACCUUCCUGUAGAGAAAUGCCAACCUUCUCUUGUGUCAAAGAUCCAUGAAAUGAGUGAUCAAUCAGAAAAUCUUUGGGUAGACGAGAUUUAUGAUGCCUAUAAUAUGUUUCAUCUUAUUAGAAUCGAUUUGGGAACAUUAAUUUAGAUCGCAAGUAUGAUGCUUUUCUCUUUAAAUCUAUGUUAUUAUGGUUUUAAUUGUCAUGUUCUUCCACUGUGUUUAGAUUUGAAGAAGUUUAGGAAUAGUUAGCAUGCAUCCUACAAGAUCCAAGACCAAAGAAUGGAGUACUUCAAGUUUCCCUAUAGCUAGUUGACCACAAGUGCUUCACUAAUACACUUAGGACUAUGUUUCAGAUGGGGGUCAUUGAGGGGCCACUAUAUAAAUUUUCAUAUUCUUACAUAGCUACCUCUUCCCCCUCUAAGAUUUGAAAUGUUUUCCUCUUACUUUCAUAGGGGGUUCUAAUAAAAGAAAUAAAAACCCUAAUCCCAAAUUUGUCAAAGGCUCUUAGGAUCCCUAUGACACCACCUCAUAAGAGGGUGGUCGUAGGAGAGAAGUUUACCCAGUUCAAGACGAAAAAACCUGAGAAGGCAAAGUUGUCCCCCUCUCUCAUUAUAGAAGCUAUGUUCCCUAGCAGCUUCUCUCAACACAUAUCAAGCCUUUCUUCCACAACAUAUGCCAUCUCAAAUAACUCAUAAGGCAGGCAUCUUCCCCCCAAAUGAUUGAUUUUUCCAUUAAGUGGGACCUCACUAUGUGAAGCUCUCUAGGCAUAAGCCUACAACAUGAUAUUCUAAAGGAAGAGUGUCAUAAGAAGAGUUUCAAGCAUUGAAUAAGAUCAUCUCACCUUUGGACUCUCAACACCUUGAGUUUACAAUUGACGUGGUAUGAGGAUUUUUCUACUCACUUUUCUUCGUUUGCUGUUUUUUUCUAGUUUCUAACUAUUUUCCUUACAUGAUUACCUCUAAUUUUGUUUAUUCAAGUUUUCUAGUAAGUACCAUGAGCUAUUGAUGAAUCAAGUGAAGGAGGUGAAGUACCUAUGAUUGUCUUUCAAUAGAAAGGUCGUAGUCUAGGCCCAAGUUGAGGACCUGAUCUUAGCCUUGGAUAUAUAGUUGACCAAGAAAUUCAAGGAAUUGAGGAAAAAGGAGAAGGUGAUUGCAUUUCAAACAUCAAUUUCUAUAUUGUAUAUGAAAAACAAAGCCCUUUGAACCAAAGAACAUCUUUCUUGACUUCCAUAUUAAGCUUUUUUUUUAAGUUACAUGUUCUUUGAAUAAAUUAACCAAACUAGCAUGAAGCUCUUAUUGAGUUACAAAAAUGUUUUUGACUUCUUAAUAGUCAAUUCAAAUAAUAUCUACAUAAGAAAAUUGUUACAAGUUAAAAUGACUUAUCAAUUUGCUUCAACAAUAUACUUGAUAAAGUAAUUUUUUCGUAAAAAAUAAUAAUAAUAAGGAGAAUUUGAGUGGCAUGUCUAUUUAACAAAUCGAAUUGCAAAGUUUCCAAUUUGAGUAGUAUUGCUCAAUUAUGAUAUUUAAAGUCAUUGGAUGUACAAAGCUAAUACUAGAUUUUUGGGAUAUGACCAAGUUACUAUAAAGAUCAUAACUCAUAUGAGUCUUAGUUUAACAAAAAAAUUAUAUCACAUGUCAAAGAAUGGCAUUUGUUGAAUAACCAAUUUAAUAAAUAUAUCAUUUUUUGAAUGCAAUUGUACUUGGGUUGAGGAAGAAAACAUUAACAGGCUUAAAACCUCACAUUAUUUUUGCAUCAUUAAUUUGAUCCAAGCUCAAAUCCAUACAUAAAACUCAAAUUGUCUAAGGUGGUGUUUGUUUUUUGGCUUAAUAGAAAAAGUCAAAAUAUUUGGUUUUUUCUAUUCAGCUAAAAGUAACAUGUUGACAUCAUCCAACAUAACUAAACUGAACCUAUUGAUAACAAGUUCAUUUUAGCUAUAUUGGAUGAUGUCAACAACUUACUUUUAGCUUAAUAGAAAAAGCCAAAUAUUUUGGCUUUUUCUAUUCAGUCAAAAAACAAACACCACCUAAGUCUAAACUGAAAAAUCAUUGUCCGAUAGGGUAACACCCAAAGGAGGUGAGUGGGUGAAUUUAAAAUAUAUAUAUCAGAGCCAUCGGGAAGGGAAGUUGGGUCUUGUUUUGGGUGUUUUUGGCCUAUCCUAGGAUAGGUAGCAGUGUGCCUAGGAGAGCGAGCCCUGCCGAUUGAGUCGUUGUUAGUCGUGGAUAGGCGUUUGUUAAGCUGUAAGAGGGUUGGGGUGACGUCUCAUAAGGUUUGUCAAUCUGCUAUUAGGCUCUAGAUCAAAACCCUAAAAUGAGUUCAAUUUUCAGAACCAUGUCUAGGAGAUCCAGUGAUUCUCAAGAUACUGUUGUAAACAGUGAAGAGAUCAAUUAUCCUAAGAUCCAAAAUGAUUUAGAUGAUUGGAAGUUACCCAAGGUGUCUAAUCAAGAAAUUUAUAAGAAAGGAACCUUUAAGUUCUUCACAAAUUAUACCAUUAAGACCUCUGAAAUGUUAGUCAGCUUAGAACAAGACGACCAAGUCAUAAGACUUCUAGAUAACAGAUCCAUUGAAAAGCAUAAGAAAGAUGACUAUAAUUUCAUACACUUUGGUAUGAUUCAAGUAGCUGCUAAGCCUUUGACAAGAUUAGGUUUAAACACCUCUAUUGUCAUGUGUUUAAGGGAUAAUAGGCAUCUCGAAUAUCGAGAUUCUAUUAUAGGCGCAGUCCAAGCUGGACUGAAUGAUGGCCCAGUUUAUUUCCAGUGUUAUCCUAACUUCACAGUUAGAAUAAGAGAUGCAGACAUCUUAGAUUCCGUUGUCCUGCAUAUUAAGACCCAUGGCUUUAAGAUCAAACCAGGAAACAAUCCUGUUUCAAUCAUAACCAGGUUUGCCUAUAAGAGCAUGAACACAAGCGUUGGAUCUGGGGCUCUUUGCACCAGUCCUAAAGGUGAGACCACUUACUUUCACUCAGAUAUGCUAGAUAAGUCAGAUUUCAUCAUCCCCAAGAAGAUCUUAUAGAAAGAUGUUGAGUUUCCUGAAAAUUGGCAUUUUGUUAAUGUUGUUCCAGCCAUUGCACAGCGUUCUGAAAGUAUUGAACAAAUUGUUCAAUAUCCUGAUGGAGGAGGAGAACUAGUUUUCUCCAACUCUUUCAGACAUUCUAGCAGCCCUAGAGUUUCAGUUUAUGAACCCUCUAGAGCUUCAAGCUCUUCCAUCCCAGUUAGAACCACUAGAGAAGAAGAAUACAGCUUAGGAAAUCCUAAGAAUAUUAAGCUAACAAGUGUUAAAAGGCACACCAACUUGAUUAGACCAUUUUACACAGAGGAAAAUGAGUCUACUCAGGAAUCCCAACAGGAUGAGUCUCCUGUUAUGUCUCCUACAUAUUCCCAGAUGAUUAACACUAUAAGCCUAAGUGAUAAGGACUUUGAGAUCAACAAGGAUCUCUUAAGAAAGGACUUUUAUUCUGAAGUCAAUAAGCAAAGAAAUGAUUGGUUCUUUAGCACUAUCCCUAAGGUCAUUAGAACCAUUUACCAAGAAGAAUUCUAUGCCUAUUUAAGACAAGAAAAGAAAAAUAUUAAGUUUUGGAUUUGGUUUGAACUCUUCAAACAAGAGGAAUAUUCAGAUUAUCCUUGUAAGCGUAUUAACAACACCUCUACAAAAGCUAAGAUAUGGAAAACCAGUGACAACAUUGUUAUAGAAUUCAUUCAUCCUCCUGAAGCUAAGAUAGAAAAGAAUAUUAAUGGAACCGUAGUCACAGCUUCACCUUUUAAGACUAAGCCAGAGGAUAAAGGAACUGCUAGUGCAACCGAUAUUAGAAGGAUUAUGGAACAAAUCAAUUAUACUAAUAUGUUUCUCAUAACCAUUGGAAAUCAAGUCAACAGAGUUGAGGAGAUUAUUGAAACUCAGGAUCACCUUAAGAAGCCUUUUGUUAAGAAUGAUAAUAAGCCUUUGUUUAAGCCUUUUGAAUUAUCUAAGAAAUUCCAGGAAAAUCCUCAAAUUGAUCAAGCUUUCAUUGAUAGAAUAAGCCAAAAUGUUAAAGAUAAUCUUGUUAUCCCUGAAACACCUCAAACUUUUGCUAUGCAUGAAACACCUCUACCUUCCCAUAAGAGAAUCAUUUUGGUUAAAAGGGAUAUUAGUCCAAAAGCAAAGGAUAAUGGACUAAUUAGGCUAACCAGAGAACCUUCUAUCCAAAACCCUUUUAAAGAUCAUAGUGAUAAACAAGAGAUUAUCCUUAAUACCCUGACUAUUAAAGAUCUUCAAAAAGAAAUAGGGCAGUAUAAAAAGGAUAUUAAGAACCUAAGACAACCUACAAGCUCAGAAUUCCCUAUCCCUCAUGAUUAUAUCAACAAGGUAGGUUUUUACCACAGUAGUCCUAAAAAGGAAGACUUUGAAGAAGUUCUUGAAUCUUCACAAGACAAUAGUGAUAAGAUAAAUGCAUACUUAAAUACUAUUAGUAAAGUUAUCUUCCAAAGGUGGGAAGUCUCCCUUACUAUAGUAAUUAAGAAUAAAUUUAUCCUUGAUAUUAUUGCUUUAAUUGAUUCAGGUGCAACUUUGAAUUGUCUUCAAGAAGGUCUUGUACCUACCCAAUUUUAUGAGAAAACCAGGCAAGCCCUUUUUGGUGCUAAUGGUAAAAAGCUUAUUAUCAAGUACAAGCUAUCGAAUGCCCAUAUGUGUAACCAAGGCAUUUGCAUUAAGCAAACCUUCAUUCUUGUUAAAGAUCUCAAGGAGAAAGCUCUCCUUGGAGUCCCUUUCUUAAGCUCCAUCUUUCCCAUGUGGGUAGAUGAUCAAGGUAUAAGAACUAAGCUUUUAGAUAAGGAAAUUCUGUUUGAAUUUGCCAAUCCACCUGAAAAAAGAAGUAUAAACACCAUAAAAGAUCAAGUGAUUAAGGCUAAGCAAAAUCAUAUUAAUCUCUUAAAGCAAGAGAUUGAUUUGGUUAGAAUAGAAGAUCAAUUGAAGGUUAAGAAAACUCAAGAUACCAUAGAAAAUUUUAAGAAUAAAAUUAUUAAGGAAGUGUGUUCUAACAUUCCUAAUGCUUUUUGGCACAGGAAGCAGCAUGAGGUAGAAUUACCUUAUGAGCCUGAUUUUAGUGAGAAAAAUAUUCCCACUAAAGCAAGACCAAUCCAAAUGAACAAGGAUUUGUUAAGCUAUUGUGAAAAAGAAAUCCAAGAUCUCAUAGAUAAGAAGUUGAUAAGGAAAUCUAAAUCCCCUUGGAGUUGUUCAGCCUUUUAUGUUCAGAAACAAGCUGAACUAGAAAAAGGAACACCUAGACUAGUCAUCAAUUAUAAGCCCCUCAAUGAUGUUUUAAGAUGGAUCAGGUAUCCUAUCCCAAAUAAAAAAUACCUCCUUCAAAGAUUAGUGAAGUCCAAAGGUUUCUCUAAGUUUGACAUGAAAUCAAGAUUUUGGCAAAUCCAGAUUGUGGAAAAAGAUAGGUACAAAAUAGCCUUUGUGGUCCCAUUUGGUCAUUAUGAGUGGAAUGUAAUGCCCUUUGGCCUUAAGAAUGCACCUUCUGAGUUUCAAAACAUAAUGAAUGAAAUCUUUAACCAGUUUUCUGAUUUCAUUAUUGUUUACAUUGAUGAUGUUUUGAUUUACUCAGAUUCUGUUGAGCAACAUUGGAAACAUCUCAAUAAGUUUGUUGAGACUGUUAAAAGCAAUGGUUUAAGCUUGUCAGCCACUAAGAUUAACCUCUUUCAAACUAAAGUAAGAUUCCUAGGUCAUCAUAUUCACCAAGGAACAUUCAUCCCCAUUCAAAGAUCAAUUGAGUUUGUUGAUAAGUUCCCUGAUGAGAUUAAGGAUAAAAAACAAUUGCAACGUUUCUUAGGAAGCCUUAAUUAUGUGUCAGAUUUCAUACAAGAUUUAAGCCAAUUAUGUGCCCCUUUAAGACAAAGACUUAAGAAAAAUCCAGUUCCUUGGAAUGAGGAUCAUACCAAGAUUGUUAAAAUAGUAAAGUCUAGAGUCAAAACCUUACCAUGUCUCGCCUUAGCUGAUCAUAAAGCCUUUAAGAUUGUUGAGACUGAUGCUUCUGACAUAGGUUUUGGUGGAAUUCUUAAGCAAAGAAGUAAUAAUCAAGAAUUGUUGGUUAGAUUCACUUCUGGAACUUAGAACCAUGCCCAACUCAACUACAACACCAUCAAAAAGGAAAUUUUAAGCAUCAUUUUAUGCAUUUCAAAAUUUCAAGACGAUCUUUUGAAUCAGGAAUUUUUAUUAAGAGUGGAUUGCAAAUCUGCAAAAUCAGUUUUACAAAAGGAUGUUAAAAAUAUAGCUUCUAAACAUAUUUUUGCUAGAUGGCAAGCUAUUUUAAGCAAUUUUGAUUUUCAAAUUGAGUAUAUUAAAGGAGAAAAUAACUCAAUCCCUGAUUUCCUAACUCGUGAAUUUUUGCAGGAUUCACAAGAUCAUGGCUCCCAAAACAGAAAAGCAAUCCUUUAAGAAAUCAUCAUCUUACAUGAAACCUCAUUCAGUCUUAUCAGAAAAAUUCAAACCUUUGUAUUAUGAUUUUGCUUCGAGAUCUCAGGAAUCUACUUCUGAUCCUAAUCCUCCAGUUCUUAAGCAUCCUUCUUCCCCUAUUGUGGAAGAAGGAAAUAUUUCUGGUUCUCUACCUUUGGUGGAAGAACUCAUCCCCUUAGACUUCUCUACUUUUGAUACUAACCCCUUAUCUAUUCAUAAGAGUAUUUGUGAUUUGUAGGCUAGGUGCAGGACCCUUGAAAAAAGGCUAGAAAUAGCUAAUUUUCCCAAAGAAGAUAUAAGCCAAGCCCCUUUUUCCCCAUUGGAAAUUGGUGAGAAAAAACCAUUCACCCCACUAGUGAAUGAGAAAUUAAGUAAGGAUGAGCAGGAGUGCAUUAUCUUUAGAAUGUUUCACCGAAGGAAUGAGAUCCUGUCCACUCUUAAGCCAGAUGAUAUUUAUCAGCUAAUUUGUGAAAAAGCCAAGUCCAGUGCAGAAGAAAAGCAAGUUUUUAUUUCGGCUUAUCUUCAGGAUCUGCACAUUUAUCUCUCAGCCAUUCCUGGUCUCAGUGUUCCAGGAUUAAAUUUAACUAAGGAAAUGGAAUUUGAUGGCUCAAAACUUUGCAGAAAUUGUAUUGAAUCGCUUCUUCAUCAACAUGACAACAAGCCAAUUUGCAACUGCAAUAGAAAUUUCACUAUCAGUAGAACUGCAAUUGUAUUGAGUCUGCAUUGAUCUAUAGUAUUACCAGCCAAUUAACCUUGCUUUCAAAUGAGAAGUUUUAAUCCUAACUCCUGAAAAGCUUCUUGAUUAUGGAUUGGUUUACCAACUUAUCUGUUCUGAUCCAAGUCAAGCUAGCAAUUUUGGCAGAAAGGUUAACCUAAGCUUAACCCAAGGUUUUAAGUUAAACAAGAAGUUUGUUGACGCCAUUUUUAUUAGCAAAGCUCCUGAAUGGAUUUCUAGAGGCAAAAUUCUUCCAGCCCAACACUAUGUUAAUCUUCAUUACCAGAAUAGAAGACCUACUCUUCUGUCCAGUCCCUUAGUUCAAACCGAUAUUUGUGCAGAGCCAAUUAUUAAGCAAAUCAAGCAUUGGAGAGCCAGAUUAAUCAGUAGAGACUUUGAAGCCUACCCAAAAAACAUGGGGCAUCUCAUUGCUGCGGAUUCCCUACAUCAGAUAUUUUGCAGUAAAAAGAUUGACCCUUUACCGUUCAAAUCCACUUUUCAAGAUACUCAGCUCCUAAUGGAUCACCGCUCGGAAUAUAUUCCUCCCUAAUUAAUUGAUCAGCAGUCAUUUCAGCCGAAAGCAAGAUUCCGGGUCAAAAGUCAAAAGUGCUACAGUUCCCUCUUACUGUUCACUUUUACUAUUCAAGCACGGGUCUACUGUUCAUUGUUACUAUUCAAGAUUCCUUUUGGCCUAUUUAAGGGGGCUCGGUCCUCAUUUGUAAGCACGCAUAAUUUUAGUUAUGUUUCUCUCCCAAGCUUAUGCUCUCCCUUCUCUCUUCUUUCUCUCUCAUCAUGUAAACCCUUCAAGCUUUCAAGCUUUCUCCAAGCUUUCCUAUCCUUGUCCAUUGUAAGAUAUUUCUCCUUAUGUAUAAUAUAAAUAUGUUUUGAUUACCUCCUAUAUGGAUGGUUUUUAAUUAAGUUUUGUUUUCAUUUCAUUUUAUGUUCUUAUACCUCCUACAUGGAUGGUUUUAAUUAAGCUUUGUUUUUAAUUUUAUGUUUUUAUUUUGUACCGCCUACAUGGUCGGUUUUAAGCUUAUCAUGAACUAACAAGUUUUUUGGUUCCUUCUCUUUAAAUUUCUUGUUGGAUAUCUUUUGUAUCAUCUAACCCUCUUCUUUGUUAUAUAUAUAUAUAUAUAUAUAUAUAUAUAUAUUAAAAAGGAAGUUGAAUUCUUAACUCAAUUUUAACUUGUUAGAUAUUAGGAAUAAUCAAAAUAAUAAAAUAAACAUGCAAAGGACACAAUAAUUUUUACAUGAAAAACCCUUACACUAACUAUACUGAUAAAAAACUACAGGGUCUAUGAUCUCAAAUCUAAAUCCACUACAUGUGACCAAGUCACACAUAUUUACCUGGUUGUUUUACGAUAAAAAAUUACUCUCUAAAACUUACAACUUGAUCCACGUCUUCAACGCAACAAUCUCCAAUUGUUCCAGUGAAUACAUCUCAAAUUCACUGAAGGGAUGUAGGUCUUCCAAGAACCCAAUAUUCAAUCUUUAAAUCUUUCUUGAGAGAUUGAGAAUGACAAGGCAAGUUAGGUUGAGUCUCUCUCAAUGUGUUCUCUAAAAAAACAUUUAGAUAGAGUAUAUAUUAAAUAAAAAAAAUAAAAUUAAAAAAUUAAAAACUAUUGGAAUUGGAAUCAAUUUAGAAAUCAUAUUUUACUAAAAAACAAUUUUGAAACUUAAGAGUUCGAAAAAGAUUUGGAAAGAUUUCAUAUUUUAAAUUUAAAAAAUAUUUGAAAUUUUUUUUCUAUUUAAAAUUCCUUUCCAAAUUAUUUUGAAAAGAUUUUUUUUUUAAUUCUCAAUUUAAAAUUCUUUCCAAAUAAUUAAAAAAGAUUUCAUAUUUUAAAUUAAAAAGAUUUGAAAAAAAAAUCUAUUUAAAAUUUCUUUCCAAAUUAUUUUUAUUAUUUAGAAAGAUUUUUCUUUUUAACUUCUUAAUUUAAAAUUGUUUUCAAAUAAUUAAAACAUUUUCACUCAAUUAAAAUUUCCAUUUUAACCGUACCUUACCGGCAAAAAGCUAACUUAUCUUUACUCAACCCUUUUAAACUUGCCUAUAACUUUCUAGUUGAAUGAACAAUAACAUUGAAUUUUCAAUAGAAAGUAAGUUACUAUUUAAAAAGUUUCUUAAGUAAAAAAAUAAUUAGAACAAAAUUGUCAACAUACAAUAUAAACUCAUUGUCCUAACACAAACCAACCCAAAGAUCAAUCCAAGUUGUUCAACCUAAGCCUAAUCUACGCCUAUUUUCUAAACUCAAAUUCAAGCCAAAUUAGGCUCGUAUUAAUAAAUUUAUGUUUGGACUAUUUGGGUUAAUAAGUACCACAUAAGUUUAACAUCCAUUUCUUAAAUAUUUUAUUAAUCAACCUAUAUUUAAUAAAUAAAAGUAAUAUUUAUUUAACUAAUUUUUGCAAGUCAAUAUGUGAAUAUGUAAAUUUAUAUUACUCAUCUAUUCAAUCAAUCCAACAAUUUCAACUAAAUAUAAUCAAUAAAAUGAAUCAAAAGUUAUAAUCAAUAAAUAUAUAAUCUAUUUUAGGUUAGGCUCGGGUUAAUAAUUUAAUCGCUUAAACUCAAUACAAAUUACAAAUUAAGUUGCUCAAACCCUUUAAAAUGAAACCUACAUGUCCAAGUUGUAGCUCUACUUUUCACAUCCUUUCAAUUUUUGUCUUCUCUACAAUUCAACCCCAAGUUCAACUUAAUAGUGAGCGGUAAAAGUAUCCAUUAGUUCAUUCUUGAGCUAUAUGUAGAAGUUUAAAAGUUAAUCCUAGGCAUUAAAAAAAUCAAUGACUAAAUAGAUUUUAAAAUAUCUAACUUUAGAGAUUCUUGAAACUAGGGUAUAUCAAAUUUUGGCAUGCAUUAAGUUGGGAGUCAGCCCUUAGAUGAGAUAAGAAAGGCAUUAGAAGCAAAUCUGGGCACGACUCCUUUGUCAUGCGAUGAAUGAAUGGAGAGAAGGUUCCUUCACAUGCAAAACUUCUCUAUAGUUGGACGGUUUCACUUUUCUCGUAUUAAUGGGAAGGGAAAGGAAAGUGUUAGGUAGAAAACAGAUAGGAGUUUCACAUGAAUUCAUGCGUGCGUCCACUUUCAUUUGAUCUUCAAUGCAUUCAAGAAGCCAACUCCAUUGAUAGCUGUAGAAAAUAUGAUCAAGAAUAUUAUUAUCAGCCAGAAAUGCAAUUUCAAAAUCAUUUUGGUGCAGAGAGAUAUAGCAAAUGCCAAAGUGUGUUGUUUCCCCAAGAUUGAAAAAAAUAUAGGAUUUGUUUGGAAACUUUUGGAAAACAAUUCUCAAAAAACAAUUUUUAAGAAUAAUUUUCAAAAAAUAUAUAUAUUUUCUAAAACAAAAAUUUGUUUAAAUUUUUGAAAUAUUAUUAACAUAUUUUCUAUAUAUCCAAAUAUUUCUUAAAACUAAUGGUUUUUAUAGUGUUUUAUUUUCAAUCAUUUUCUAUCAUCAUAUAAUUGUUUCUAAAAAAAACUCUUAAAAAUAAAAUGUUUUCUUAAAGAGCAUCCUAUUUUCUAAAUAAGUUCUAUCAAAAAAGUGCUUUUUUGUCCAAAAAAAUUACCAAAAACAUGUUUUCAAAUUUGGACAAUAGUUUUCAAACUAUUUUUAAAAACACUUCACUAACAAUUGCUCAUAAUAUCCUUCUUUUACCUUGCCAUAUCAUUUUUUGUUAAUGAUAUUUUUAGAUAUUUCUACAAUAUUUUGCAUCAUCUCAUACUCUCUUGCAACAACCCUUUCCAAGGAAGAAACUUUUGCAAAAUAUACUUGAUAUAUCUCCAAGAUUUUCAUAAUCAUUCUCUAUUGGAACAAAUGGGUUUAUAAAUAUGGAAAUCCAGAUCCUCCAUACACACAAACUAAUUCUUAUCAAGGCUAUGCAUUGUCUGACAGACCUAAGAGUGAUUUUCAACAAUAAAAACCUUUUCCUUUUUGGUUCCAUUUAAUUAAAGUAUCUUUGGGUAACUAUAUUAGAAGUACUUAAAAGUAGAGGGGCUAACAAAUGCAAUGGAGUUCUCAUGAGUGAUAUCUUCAUCAAGCAAUUUUCUCCUUCACUUUAGUAAGCUACUCCUCUCACAAUAAGGAAGCUCUAUUAUUGUUUGCUGCAGUGUGAGGUAUUUCUUUAGACAAUAACUUCCCCAAAAAGAAGGAAAAACUGGUACUAUAUUCAGUCAGCUUCAUUUCUUUAGUAAAAUGGCCUGUAUUAAUGUUUAAAUUUACAUGGAAUUGCAUUCCCAUGUUGAACCCAUCUUCCAAGUUGUUAAUACCCCAUUAGCUUCUCUAAGCUUGAAAACACAUGGGCAACGUUAGGGUUUUAGCUUUCUAUAUCACAAUAUGCUGCAUAGCAUUCAUUGUGUCCAAGGUCAUCAUUUCAUUUCUCCUCUACCAGAGAUGGAAGAGAAAGCACAGCAUUUUCCAGGACAGCAUAUCAGGUACGUGCUUAUUGAAUCUUGAUGGUCUUCUAGAACUGAAAACUUGCAAUAAAGUUUAAGCACAGGUGUUGGUAGCUAACAUCUUAAAAUAUGCCAAACCCCAGUUGGGAAGAUGGUGAUUUUCAGGUCAGAGUUGAUGCGAUGUCUGACAGAGGAUGUGUUUCUGAAGAAGACGAUGAAGCUGACGAAUAAGGAUAUACUGGGUUCAGGAGGGUAUGGGACGGUGUACAAGCUCACGGUGAAUGAGUCGAUUGCAUUUGCAGUAAAGAGAUUGAAUAGGGGGAGUGAGGAUAGAGACAAGGGGUUUGAGAGAGAGUUGAAAGCAAUGGGAGAUAUCAAGCAUAGGAAUAUUGUAACUCUUCAUGGCUACUUCAGAUCGCCUCAGUACAAUCUUCUUAUAUAUGAGCUAAUGCCAAAUGGAAGUUUAGAUGCAUUACUUCAUGGUCUGCACUUCCAUGCAUUUUUCUUCUAAUUCUUUAAUUCAUGAUUUUUAUUUUUCCUCAUCCCAAUUGUAAAAGGAUUCUACUUGUCCCAAAUGCAGGAAAAUCAAGCAACAAGAUGACUCUGGACUGGCAUUCGAGAUACAAAAUAGCAGUGGGUGCAGCACGGGGCAUAUCGUAUCUUCACCAUGACUGUAUCCCUCACAUAAUUCAUAGAGAUAUCAAAUCCAGCAAUAUACUGCUUGAUGAUAACAUGGAAGCUCGAGUUUCAGACUUUGGACUAGCCACAUUAAUGGAACCAGAUAGGACUCAUGUUUCCACAAUUGUGGCUGGGACCUUUGGGUAUUUGGCUCCAGGUUCCCUCUCUCCCUCUUCUUUUGUGUGUGUGUGUGUAUGUGCUUGUGUUCUACAUGUGUCUAAUAGUGGGGUGCUUUCCAGAGUAUUAUGAAACAGGUAGAGCAACAGCAAAAGGGGAUGUUUACAGCUUUGGGGUUGUUUUGCUUGAGCUCCUAACAGGUAAAAGACCGAUGGAUGAGACGUUCAUUGAGGAAGGGACUAAACUGGUGACCUGGGUAAGGUCCUACAGAACUCUCUACAAUUUUGUUUUUCUUUAGUGGUUGAAAGCAUUGGUUAAUUUACACUAAUCUGGCCCCGUCCGAGAAAUUAACAACACCAACAACAAAGUUUCCACCCUUGAAUUUUAGAAGACUCUUAACCAUUGUCACAAAGUACCCCUGUGUUUUCUCAAAGUUUGCUCAGAAGAAGAUCUAAUUAUCAAUGUUCUCAAGUCUUGCUUCUAUUCUUUGAAUUAUCUGGUUAUCCACCAUUCCUCUACACUAUCCAGUAUAUGACUUCCAACAUUUUUGUUGAAAGAUGGGCCUUGUAAAUGGUUUUCAGCAUAAUCUCAUGGCUAAAAAUCAUGUCCAGUGGAUUUGGUUUACAACAAGACAACCAUUUUGUCCACAAAUUUUCCUUACCCUCUCCUACUGUCUCUCAAUUAGGGUAAAAUCUUAGCAAUCUGAUCACCCUAGUUUCUGUUUGUAACCAACCUUGCAUUACACCCCACAAGUCUCAGAGGAAAAUCCAUUCACAAAAAGUGAAAAAAGGCCAAAAAGAAAGUGUAAGUGAUCGUACUUGAAACCGACACUUUCUAAAUAAGGCUUCUAGUCCACCCAAUACACAAGCAGCAGUCAGUUCAAUUAACACAUUCAUGAAAUCUAGCCUUACAGAUUCAAUGAAUUUGUUCCUUAUAUGCAUAAACCUGGAUCAUUGAUUAGCUGCCUUUCACCACCAACUAUUUGUAAAAACUCUGUUGAGAAGUUUGAGCCUACCAGAGCCAGAGUAUUAUCCUGCACUUCCCUACUUCCAUCAAAAGGAAACUUCUAAUGUUUCAACAAAAUGUGACAGGACCCAAAUAUUCUUGGUAGUCUGGCUUUGUGAAACCAACACACACUGUAGUACAAGAUCUUCCACCAUUACACUUCAUGCCAACCUACACUAGUACACUAGUUACUCUUAUCUGUAUAUAAGCAUAAAUGCAUGCACAAAUACAACAGAUUAGUUUUGGGUUUUGUGGUGUUCUCUUGAUCUUUUAGCCUUAGACUUCGUCCACAAACAAGAUUUGACAACAAUAAUGUGCAUACUGAAACAGGUGAAAGCAGUUGUUGAUGAGAAGAGGGAAGAGCAAGCAAUUGAUUGUAAUUUAGAUUCAUGUCCUGUGGAAGAAGUCAACCAAGUAUUCUAUGUUGCACUAACAUGCCUAGAAUCCGAGCCAUCAAAGCGACCAACCAUGGCUGAGGUUCUCAAGAUGCUUGAGGAGAUAAAAUCAAAUAAACAUGUUUCCUAAUGUAACACUUGCAUUGCAUCAUGCUUUUGACAACAAAAAGGUAUCGAGACAAAAGCUCUCAUUAUCCUCAAAAACAAUGAACUUACCUAGUUAUAGUAUAAAAAAGGGAUGCAACCACCCACUCCACACGCUUUAAAAUUUGAAAAUAAUUCAGAAAUUUGCAAAUAAUUCUAUUUUGCAUGGUGUUAAAUGUAUGUAAACACCUGGCAAUUGAGGCAAUCAAUGACAAGAAAGAUAUAGUAGGAUUCAAAUGGGAUUUGCGUCUUGAGGAAACAUAGAGGAUAACAUAGGCAGAAUGGAUGAGGUUCAUUAUCCUAGGACUAGGAGAUAUGACCACCCUCAUUCAAUUUUUCUAUUCAUAUUCCAAUUAUUACCGUUCCAUUUUUUAAUAUUUUCAAUAUAGCUUCUAGGAUUAAUAAAAUCAACGAAGAAUAUUGAUUCAGGCCUAAAACUAUUGAUCAAUCUCCUUUAAUCUAAUUCCAGUAUCAUCCCCUUACAAUGAUUCUCAGAGUAUAAAAGUCGUGGUUUGAACACACUCAGCUCAAAGAACUACAACAUGAUUAAUGGAAGUAUAAGGGCCAUCGGCACGCCUGGCCUUUAUUCCCACUUUUAUAGGUAAAUCUUUAAUCGAAGUCCAAUGCCAUCAACCAUCUAAAAGCCUUAAAUUUUCUAUUCUCAGUAGGAAAAAAAAAAAAAGAGAGAAGUCGUUCUCUGAUGAGAAAUGAAUUACAGACACACACAGCUGGGAAGAGAGAGGUACCAUGUAACUAUGCACACACGAAGAAGGAAGAGAAAGAGAGUUGAAGGGGGAAAAUGAGAAGUGGUUGACAACCUGAUUUUCACUCUGGUGAAAGGAUGCCCAAGAACUCCUUGAUGAAACAUGUCCAAACAGCCACGAUGUAACAAUCUCUUCCAAGCAUCUUCGGCCCAAGGGAAGAACACAAGAUUUGCGGGAAUGAGGAGGGUGGGUGGAACAAGAAGUGGAUAAGAACUUGAUCUUCAUUAUGGAGAAAGAAGUGGAUAACAAGUGAACAACUUGAUCUUCAGUCUGGUGAAAGGACUCAAAGGAACCCCCCAAAACUAACUCCUCGAUGAAACACAGAAAGAACCAUGGGUAGAACAGUCCCUGCCAAGCACAUUCCGCCGAAGGACAGAGCAUAAGAUUAGUGGUUGGGACUAGUCAAAAAAUAAGAGAAAAUUAGAGGAAUGAAUUCUGUAUUUGAAAGUGGUUCAGCACACAGACGGCUGACCCCAAAACAUACAAUUUAUAUGGCCAAGAAGAUUGCACAAAGGCAGGGUUUCUGCACCACAGCAACGCUAUACAGUAGGUAUCGUAUAUGAGAGAAAGUCACAAAACACAAGGGAAAUUUUGGCACAAUUAGAGGGACAUGGCAUGGUUGAGUGGAAGUAGUUGAGAGUCUGAGACUUGUAUAACUCUAAGAACCACAAUCUUGCUCUCACCCCAACAACGCACAACAACCUCCACCCCUCACAAACACACGCACAGACGAAAUCCCCCUUCUCUUUUCUACUUGUAAAUCUGUCUACACCUUAUCAUCCAUCUAUACAUAUCUCUAGACUAGUUCCAGUAUCUUCGAUUAUGUGGACUCCUUUAGUUAAGUUCUCAAGUGUUGCAUGUCGCAUACAGAAAGAUCUCAUGUGCAUGAGAGAGAGAGUAAUUGAACAAGCGUGAGUCGUCCAUUUCAACUGAGUUUGGUCAUUAGAUGUAUGAUAUGAUUUGAAUAAACUCAAACCUAAAAUGUCAGAUGGAAAAAUACUUUCAUACAACAAUUUUUGCUCAUUUUCUUGUUUCCAUGUGCACAAGGAUAAGGAAAUGGGUCAUGGCCAUCAAGUAAACCAUGAAACCUUUCAAAAAGAAACAACAAAAUCAACAAGAUAUUAACCAAAAACGAUGACGAUAGUACAAAACCAAAAACAGAGUCCAAAAUAAAUAAGAAAGUCUGCGUCCAGUGGCCAUAUCAUCCCUUGUGAUUGAGAUGCCAUCCCAAGCCACCAUUGGUACCGUGAGCACACACAUCUAGGUGAAGCAAAACUUUGAAUGAUGUACCCAUAUCUCAGUAAUCAGUAGGGGAGAUGACAUCAUCGAUCUUUAAAAUCAUCUUGACAACUUGUGUUGCCAGCAAGAUUUGCUGCUGCUUCCCUAUGAGAGUCUCAAAGACAUUUUGCUCACGCAUAUCAUAUGUGCCAACAUCAUUGCAGUCAAUCCCACAGUAGGCAUUGUUAUCCUGCAUAUCAAAUUGAAAUUUUCAUUUUAAAAUCAAUAACCAUUAUGAAAGUGCAUAUGUUUCAGAGUGUGCACACAAGGGUGUGUAUAUGCAUGUGCAGAUCUGUGCGUGUGUGUGUGUGUGUGUGAGAGAGAGAGAGAGAGAGAGAUUUAAUCAGAAGCUCCAGGUCAGAGUGAAAUUAGCUGCCAUAUCUCACGCAUGAUUUUACCUUAAUUUGCUGAGAUUUCACUGCAGAUAGGGUUUCGAUGGGUUGGAGGCCACUAUUCUCUGCAAGUGCCAUGGGAAUUGAAUCCAAAGCAUCUCCAAAUGCCCUGAUAGCAUACUGUAAACCAACCAGGCAAAUAAUUAUUACUAAAACUACCACUAAGGGUAUAAAAGACAAGAGUAACAUCUUCAUACCUGCUCAACUCCUGGAUAUUUAUCAGCAGCUGCCUCUACAGCAAUAGAGCAAGAAAUCUCAGCUGAGCCUCCACCAUACACAAUAGAAUUAUUGCGAAUGAUAUUCCUAGCCACACACAGUGCGUCAUGGAUGCUACGCUUUGUCUCCUCUAUUAUCAUUUUGUUACCUAAUGCACCAUCAAACAGCAGAAUCUUGUGUAAGAUCGUUUGAAUGCCUUUAAGACCAUUCUUUCUCAGUUUUCAACUAUUUCUUUCUAAUAAUUCUACCAUUCAUUAUUGUUUUUUCUCUUCUCCUUUUCCCCAUUUUUUUAGUUUUCGUAUCCUAUCUCUCACUCUUCUUCUUCCCCCACCCCCACCCCCACCCAUGGAAGUUACAGACCAACCAGCUCCUAUGAGAGGAGAGGAGAUAUAGCAAACCUCUGUCUUUCCCCCUCUCCUUCUCCCUGUUUGCCCUCUCUCAUGCUUUCUUACACAACCACACAAAACUAUUUAUAGCCGAUGCCUACCACACAACACGGGUUUUUUUAAGAAGUUGUAGUCCUGCUAAGAGUUAAUUUGAGUAAGAAUGAGUUCACUCUAGUUGGGAGGUCAAAACCAUAGGUUUUUAUUUUUUACCAAUUAUCUUCAGAUGCAAAGUAAGGAAACUUCCUACUUUGUAGUUGAAUUUGUAGUCAGUAUCUUCUUUUAAAGAAUACCAUGUGCCAGGAUGGAAAAAGGUUUAAUGGAUGAAAAAGACUUUUUAUCUUUCAAAACUCAUAGUUCUUGGUUAAGUCACCUGACCAUUUUCAUGGUAUUUUCAAAAUUCCAGUGUCAGCAUCUAAUAGAUUGAAAUGCUUGCAAAGAAGUUUCAUAUGGACUUGUGAGGUGUUGAGUUCAAUUUUCAUUUUAUUUAUUGGAAUUUAUUUUCCCUGGGAAGAUCUUUGAGAGUGAUUACCUGUGCUCUCUUAGGCAAAAGGCUUUGGAGGUUUGUAAUAGAGAGCAAGUUUAUGAAGACAGAUGAUGGAUUGAAAAAAAAAAAAGCAUCCAAAGAGGGUAAUUGGAUGUUUACAAAAGAAAGGGAGAACUAUAAUCAUUGUAGCCUUCAAUGGUUUUGGCAAGGACACUAGGGAUGAAAUGCUCUGGCAAGCACAUUGCUCUCUAUCAUUUAGGUCCUAUGAUUAAAGAUAAAUACCCAUAUCUUAGAGGACAAAUAUAGAUGUACAAAUGAUUAAUCAUGAAGGCUUCUCUAUGCCUGUGAGUCUGAUUAUGAUGGACGUGAGGGAGAGUACACGAUUAACAGGAGAAAGAUUGGGACCAUGAUGAACUCUAUCUUGCUUUUAGUUAAAUGAUUAGAGAACAUGUCAGUGUUCUUGCAGAGGCUUUAUGCGUCAAAUCUUAAUAAGGACAAGGACAGUCUUGAAUGGAGACUCAGAAAAACAAAACUUCAUGAUAAAAUUUUCCUAUAGCCAUAUAUGGAUCGGAUCAUGGGAGUUUGGACGAGCCUAUUCCUUUCCUGCCCAUGUGUGGACUGCAGGAUUCAUCUGCUGUUAAAGUGGAGGGCCCAUUAUUUUGACAACAAAGAAAUAAGUUUCUUAAUCAUUUUGUUAGUAUGGGUAAGGUUGGUUCUUACCACAUCAUUAUUGGAUCACAAAUUGAGGGAAGAGUAGGAGGAUUACCUAGUAAUCCAUUGGAUAGUUGCUUAGAGCUUUAGAAUUUCAUUAUUCUUUAUUUGGCCUAUGUUGAACUAUGCCUACAUCAAUUUUGGACUUCAUUCAGGGUUGGUGAACCAAGACCUGCAAUGCAAGGGAGAUUAAUUGGGAAACAGCACCAGUUUGUGCACUUCAGUGCUUCUGGAAUAAGACACUGUAAAAUCAUUGAGACCUUUUUCCAAUGAACUUCCUCCUUACUCUCUGAGUUAAAGACUUUCAUUUUUAUUUUUAUUUUUAACUUUGUAGAUUUGUCGAUUUCCUUGUCUUGUUAUAGACUUCCCUUUCAGGAUUUCGCAUAUUUGUACCCCUUAUCAUCCUACUUUUUUCCAUUUCUUGGGUGCUUUUUAUACAUCCCCGUGUACCAGAUUUGUCACAUAACGAAUUUUCUUACAUCCCUCCACCCCCACUAACACACACAAAAAAGGAAAAGAAAAAGGUACAAGGUUGGUGUUUAAUGUCAAUAUCUAACCAUUAUUUUCUAGAAAUGUUAACAACUAUCCUUUACCCUUCAAACAAGGACAAGUCACAAACAGCUUGGCCAUAACAAAAAUUCACACUUUAAUUGAUAGCCAUAACUAAAAUGGCUGACAUGAUUAUUAAACAAUUCAUGUACUAGCCUUUUAAAGCACAACCAAACAGCACUGAGCUAUUCCUGCUGGCUCACAACAUGGAUAAAAUCAUCACUCUGAUCAAAUAUGCAAGGAAUACAAAAUAAUAAUUGAUCAAACUAGAAUGCAGAAAAUGUCAUCUCUUUUCCCAAAUGUAGUGUUUUAGAUGUGCAAGCAAGAAUUAGUUUGAUAAAAUGGGUCACUUGGUAAAAUCAACAAAGCUAAACCUUAUGCCAAAUUACAACAGGAGAACCCAGAACAUGCCAAAUGCAAAAUUAACAAGUUAAUAGCUUAGCUAAACUUACCAGCUAGUAAAAUCAUUUACCAUCAGGGAUGAUGGUAUCUAACACAAUUCUCUAAAUCUAACAGAUUAUAUCUCGAUAAUCAGAAAAAAAAAAGAAGAAAGAGAAAAAUAGGAAUGUAAUAAACAAGCAAAUAAUGCGCCAUUCAUAUAUGAUAUAACAACUAAUUAUAAAGCAUUUAAAUGAAAUAUAUAUACAAAAUGAACAUAUUGCAUUCUACUUUUUAACUCCAGACCACAAUGAAUAUUUUGCUCAGAUGACAACUCACAGCAUUAUAAACCAAUAUAAUAUGUCAAAAGAAACAAAAUGAUCAUUACAGAAAAAAGGGAAGAAAAAACAUAAGCCUACCACCACGAACAAAUAUGGUUACAGCCCUUGAAUUUGCACAGCGUUCAAUAUACAGCAUUCGGUCUUUAGUGGUACCAAAUGAUUUUUCUCGAACCAAACCAGCCUAAAUAAAUAACAUGGAAUACUAUAUCAGUGUUUCUGGUGCCCACAAAGUACAAGCACAAUUUAAGAGGAUAAAUUACAAAUAUCAAGUUGAGAGUUCAAUAUAAAAUAAUAUACAUAAAAUUCAAGUCACAGAUUCUUAAUGAUCAACAAACUUCUCCGAAGAGUUUGGCUAUUAUAAAAAAGAAGAAAAACUAAUAUAAUUAAAAAAAAAAAAAAGAUAGUCAAGUGAGAGUAACAAUAAUAAAUGAUGAUAGUUUGAGUGUCAUUCUAAGCAAUUAUAAAAUAAGAUACUAGCAUCAGAUGUGAAACAAUGCAAAAAAGAUGUGGCACCAUGAGCAACAAGCUCUUCUAAGGAGUCACUACAUAGAUCUUCACAAUUUAGGCAACAUGUAAGGAAGAUUGUAAACACACACGGCAGAGAGCUGCAGGCAGUAAUUGGAUGUAUCUGUGCAUGUGACAGUCAGGAGAUUGAAGAUGGUGCAGGAGGCUCAUUAUGGAAGAGUGAACACUCAUCCAUCAGGCCCACAUCACAGAAUGAUCAUAAUUCAUACAAACAGAUUUUUUUUUUUUUUUUUGAUAAGUAAAAGAAGUAUAUUAAACGAAAAGAGGAAACACCAAAAACCGGUGCCCUCUAAGUAUACAGGGAGUAUACACACCACCUUCCCUAACUAGGAGCCUAUCCAAUCUACAAAACUUACAAGAGAAGAAUGACUCUCUGCUAGGGAACCCCUGACCCAUGACCAAAGAUUACAUACAAAAGAAUAUUUCAACCUUUGAAGCAAAAGAUCCUCAUCCCCAAACGCUAGGUUAUUUCUCUCCUUCCAAACUGACCAAAAAAUACAUAAAGGCACCAUUUGCCAAGCCUUCUUGCGUCUUUUCCCCACGAACCCUCCAUUCCACCCAAGAAGGGUUGUCUUCACUGUACACGAAAGAGUCCAAGAUAUACCAAAAAGGGAGAAAAGGAGGUUCCAUAGGACCCGCGUCUUGACACAAUGCAGUAGGAGAUGAUCCACUGUUUCUUCUUCAGAUAGACAAAGAAAGCACCUAUUUGCCAAAGAGAACCCCCUCCUUUGAAGUUGCUCCUGUGUUAAAACUUUACCCCAAGAAGCCUCCCAAGCAAAGAAAGCUACCUUGGGAGGCACUCUUGCCCUCCAAAUUCUUUCGCUAGGGAACAUAGAAAGGCCCCCCGGCUCCAUCAUAGAAUAAAGGGACCUAACUGAGAAAGCCCCAUCAUUUGAAGUUGUCCAGAUCACUCUAUCUUCCUCCUCCCUUUGAACCCUGAAAGCUUGGAUCUUCUUCAACAACCACUCCACUAAAUCAAUCUCCCAAUCAUUAAACGCCCUUGCAAAGAGAGGAGUCCAACCAACCCCAUCACCAACAGGAUUCCAAACCUCCGAAACCCAAGCAUUCUUCGACAUGGACAUGGAAAAAAGAGAGGGGCAAGACUCACAAAGAGGCCCAUAACCACACCACUUGUCUUUCCAAAAUUUCACUAUUUGCCCAUUACCCAAAUGGAAAGCUACCCUGCCAUCUAACAGCCCCCACUUCUUCCUAAUUGCUUUCCAAAGCCCAACUCCGUUUCUUCCCAUCACAUCCCGAGUACACCAGCCCCCCUCCUCUACGCCAUACUUGAGGCUAAUUACACUCCUCCACAACGCCUCUCUCUCAUUAGCAAACCUCCAAUUCCACUUACACAAAAGGGCGCUAUUCAUCAAAGAUAAAUUUCUCACCCCUAGCCCACCUUUUCUUUUCUCCAAGCAUACCAAGUUCCAUCUUACAAGGUGAGGUUUAUGGGCUAGAGCUCCCCCACCCCACAGAAAAUCCCUCUAAAUUUUCUCCAAUCUCAACCUCACUUUUCUAGGCAAAUAAAAGAGAGACAUCAAAUAAAUAGGCAUACUGGACAUAGUGCUUCUGAUUAGGGUGAGUCUUCCCCCUUUAGAUAUGUACCAUCUCUUCCACAUAGCAAGCCUUCUACGAAAACGCUCUUCAACCCCAUCCCACACAACCAAAGAAUUGAAAGCUGCCCCUAAGGGCAUUCCCAAAUAACUAGAAGGAAUCCCUCCCACUUUACACCCUAACUCCAAAGCCAAACCCUCUAUCUAUAUUCAACACCCUUCCCACCGGGAUCAUCUCACUCUUCUCUAAGUUAAUCCUCAAACCCGAACACGCCUCAAACCACAUGAGAAGUCAGCUUAGAUAAGUCAUCUGAUCUGAAGACUCCUCACAAAAAACCAACGUAUCGUCCGCAAACAACAAAUGCGAUAUUUGCAUCCCCUCACCCCUCCCACCACUCACCUUCCACCCAGAUAAGUAGCUCCCACUAAUAGCCCUUCUCAUCAUACUACUGAAAACCUCCAUGGCGAUCACAAACAAAUAAGGGGAAAGGGGAUCUCCUUGUCUUAACCCCCUCGUGCUUUGAAAAAAACCGGAUGGAGAACCAUUAACUAACACGGAGAAUUUCACAGUGGAGAUGCACCAAUCAAUCCACUUUAUCCAUCUCUCUCCAAACCCCAUCUCUUUAAGAACAGCCAACAAAAAGCUCCAGCUAACACGGUCAUAAGCCUUCUCUAUAUCCAACUUGCAUAACACCCCUCCCACAUUGUCUUUCAACCUUGAGUCCACAACCUCGUUUGCAAUCAACACUGCAUCCAAAAUUUGUCUACCCUCCACAAAGGCAUUUUAAGACUCUGAGAUCACUUUCCCCAUCACCUUUUUAAUUCUAUUGGCCAACACCUUGCCCAACAACUUGUAGAGGCUGCCUACAAGGCUGAUAGGCCUGAAAUCUUUCAAAUCUUCAGCACCUCCCUUCUUUGGAACUAAGACAAGGAAAGUUGCAUUUAGAGAUUUUACAAAUCUGCCCCUCUCAUGAAAUUCCUUGAAGAAGCCCAUUAUUUCAACCUUUACUAAAUCCCAACUGAACAACCAAAAAGCCAUGGUGAAGCCAUCCAGGCCGGGAGCUUUAUCCUUGCCUAGAUCUGAAAGUGCCGCGAACACCUCCCCUUCCGUAAAGGGAAUUUCCAGCCCCUCAAUACCAGGACGCCACCGCCCUUCUUCGGUAUACAAAUUAUUAAAAGCUCCCACCACACUAUUUUUUAAAUCUAACUCCUCCGUAUGCCAACAAUCAUCCACUUUCAGCCUAGACAACCAGUUCCUUCUGUUAUGCGCAUUUGCCAUCCUAUGAAAGAAUCUGGUAUUAUUGUCCCCUUCCUUCAACCACAAUUCCCUCGAUCUCUGUCUCCAAGAAAUUUCUUCCCUCAACACCCAUGUCUUAUAAGCCUCCUUAGCCUCCUUCCUUGCUUCACAAUCCUCCAAACUCAGAUAUACGUGUGCCACACUUUGCAGUGAAUAUGAGGUGUUGUCAUACAUGGGAAAUUGCCAACAGCUAGACAAGAGAACCAUGCAAAGCAGUCUCUAAUAUUUAAUGUAAAAUAUACUAGCCCUUAGUUAAUGAGCAUCAAUGCAUUACAAUCAUAAACAUCAGGGAAAGGAUUUUAUCAUGUGACAAAAAAAUACAUAACGAACACAUUCUUACAAACUCUUUUCCAUUAAGAUACAAACAGAACUGGCUUGUGAAGUCCAAAUCAGUAUUGAAGAUCUGUGGAUAUGGGAACCAUGCCAACAGAUGGAACAGUAAUUGUUGAUGCAACAAAGGGUCCUAUGAAUCACAGCUCACAUCUCGCUUUAAGAGCAGGAGAAAUAGUUCAGAAGUCCACCCAAGUAAAAUCCUAAUUGCACUAAAAGGUAUACCCAGUACAUCUUAAAAUGACUAUAGAGAUGGAAGGGAUGAACAAUAAGAGGGUGGAGGUAAUUCCAUUUAUUGUUAGUAGAUGAUACCCUCAUUUUUUGGUAAUACAUGUCAAGAACUGAUAUAUUUGAGUGGGCUUCUCAUGUGGGUUGAUGCAGUUUAUGGGCUGAAAAUUGAUUUGGAGAGGAGUGACAUAAUUCCCAUGUGGGGUGAGGUGGGGGGAAAACUGCAAUGAUCCUGAAUGCAGGGUAGACAAAUCUUGAAUACAGUUUCAAUCACUAAUGACACUAUAGAUUCUAGGAAAAAAAGCUUGAAUGCAAGUUCAGUGUGCAAGUAGGACAUAGAAAAAAGAUAUCAUCACGUGAACUGAAAUUUUCUCCAUUCAAUCAUGGAUAAAUGGGUUUUGGGAGAAAUUGGUUGAGAUGGGUGUACUUUUGUAUUAUCUAUAGUGAGAUUCUCAAUAUUGGUCAAUGGCACUCCCAAAGUCUUUCCAAGGUUUUAGACGGGUAGGGUGACGCUCUUUCCACUUACCUCUUUGUGUUCACCAUAGAAGCUCUUUGCUGUUUCAUUUUAAAAGCAAGAGAAGUGGGCCACAAAAGUGGUUUUAAGAUAGGUGAGAGAGAAGAAGAGAGGAUGGAAGUCCUUCAUAUAUUAGUUGCAGAGGACACACUACUAUUUUGUGAGGCCACUGUGGAGCAUCUCAGGUGCUGGAAAUGGAUGCUAAUAUGUUUUGAGCAUGCGUCAUGUACAAAAAUCAAUUUACAAAAAGGUGAAUAAGCUCUUGUUAGUGAGGUGUUUGAGAUUAAUAGAUUUGCCUAUUUGUUUGGCUGCAAGGUUGGUUGCAUUCCUACUACAUAUCUUGAUUUGCCUGUAGAAGCAUCUCAAAGACUUAGUGGCAUGUAGUACUUAGUUGAAAAAAGAUUUUAAAAAAAAUAAAUCAAUUAAUCAAUUAAUUAAAACUAGCCUCUUGGAAAAGAUAGUAUCUAUCAAAGGGAGAUAAGAUUAAUCCUUACCAAGAACAAUUUUUUGAGCCUUCGAAUUUUUAUGUCUUUAUUUGUAAUUCUUAGAAAAGAGAAUAUUAAACUGGAAGAUAUCUAGAGAGAUUUUUUUGUAGAGAAAUCGCUUAGAGGGGAAACAAUACAUCUUCUUAAAUGGAUGAUAGUUUGCAAGUAUAGAAAGUAUGUUGGGUUGAGACUUAGGAAGUUGGAUGCCUGAAAAAGAUGUGACUUUGCAAAUAGUUUUGAAGAUAUGCUCAUGAGCAUGAUAGUUUGUGGAGGAGAAUUAUAUGAGGUAAGUAUGAUGAAGAGGAAGGAGGUUGGUGUAUUAAAGAAGUGAGAGGCUUUCUAGUGUGAGAUGUGAAAAGACAUGAGGGGGAGGAAAUAGUUCAACCCAAAACUUCCAUGUCAAGAAUAGUAGAAGGACCAGAUUUUGGUUAGGUAACUAGGUAGGGGAAUGACCUCUACAAAAGUCGCUAGUGGAGAAAGCUCUUGAGCUUCCCUUCAUUCAUUGCUAAGCCAAGGUCCCAAGUCUCUAAGUCAACCUAUGCUUUUUCGAGGAAUCUUGAACCCAUGGGCAUACGGCCUAACAAACCUUCCCUUUUUGUCAACUUCAUGGGUGUUGCCCCGUUCCCAAAUCUUUUUCAUUGACAACUUCAAACUAAUCAAUCGAAUGCUCAUUAAUACAUAAUCGAUUGAGCACUACUUGAAAAUGGCCCUUCUGCUUAGAAACGAAAUGAUCCAAAUGUUCCUAGAAAUUCUUGUUCCCAUUAGUGGCCAAAAUGCCAAGCUAGAUUUAUAGCUAGGUAGAAUAAAGAGAGGCCUCAAGCCCUUCAUCCAUCAUUUUUUUAAACCACACGUCCCCCUGAAAAUUUAAAGAAUGAGUAUACCAUCUUUUAUAUAAAGCUUUUAGUGAAAAGAGCCUUAAAUAAGCUUUACCUAUGUUGUUUAGCAUAGCCUCUUCCAAAAACAUUAUAGUUACAUAUCUAUGAGAGGAAUAGGAGAAUGGAGGUCAUUGGUCCUUGGGAGUUUAAAGAUUGGGAAAUGGAUGGAGUGGGUCAAUUUUUUAAGCCCUUAUUUUUUUUUUGAUAAGUAAAGCAAUUGUAUUAAAAGUGCCUAAAGUAUACACGAUGUAUACAAGGCCAAAAAAGAGGAGGCAUAGACAAUUUUUUAAGCUUAUUAAAGUUGUGAGCUUACAAACAAAAGAGAAAUAUAGUGUAUUGGGGAGGGAGGAGAAAAAAGAGAGAUUUUAGGUAAAAUCCAUCUACAAAUGCUUAUGUGCUAAGGCUAAAGAGUUGUUUCCUAUUCAAGAUGUUUAGGGUAUUAGUGCACCUUUGAGAACCCCUUUUUUUCUUUUUUGGGGGGUUGGGGGUGGGGGUGUUAGGUUUAUUAUAAUCUUUACAACUAAUGUGAUUAGUAAGUAAAACGACAAUGAUCAUGAGAGAAUCUCACCUAAUUUGGGAACUCUUUUAUUAUCAAUGUGUAGUAUGUAUUUAUAUUUGAGUUUGAUGCUACUCAUCCUAAAAUGUAAAAUAAAAACUACUAUUAUAAAUAUGUUUACUUGAAUUUAGUUAAAGUAGAAAAAUGAAAGUACUUCCUAUGUAGGGCCUUUGAAAAUGAGGGGCAUCUUGUCCAAAGACUUAAACUUUAUUUCCUUUGGAAUAUUUGGACAUGGGCUAAGGUGUAUUUAGUUUCAGGCCUUGUUGAUUUUGUGGAUUGGUUAGGCUUUGUUUGAGGGGGUGUUGUUUUUUGUUGUUCCCUUUUUUUGUGGCGUUCUUAGACAUCCUUUGUAUACUUCUUGUGUACUUUGAGGCGCUUACCUGGAGUGUCCUAUAUUAAUAUAUUGUUUUUUGCCCAUCAAAAAAAAGUAGAAAAAUGAAAGUACCUUUUUCAAAAAAUAAAAAUAAAACACUAAUGUACAAUAAUUUAUUUAAUCAAAGGAUGAUUUUUAUAUCAAAAUAAAGGAAAUUGGUUAAAUAUUUAAUAACCUUAUUUUGAUCACUUUUCUCUUCUUUUUUUACAGAUAAAGAAAAGAAUAUAUUAAAAAGAGGCACCAAAAGUGUGACUCAAGGAAUACAAGACCUAAACACCCACCACCAAAAAGACUCAAACGGAAGACAGAUCUACAAAACAAGAUGGACUAUAACAACCUCAACAAGAGCCUAGCCAAUCAAAGAAUCUAAUUAACGUUAAAGGACAAUCAUCUAUAAACAACUUAGUCUCUAAUCAAAAGAAGCAAACAAAAGAACUUUUUAAUCUUUGGAUUGGGAUCACAUCAUCCUCUAAGGCAAUUUUAUCCCUUGCCUUCUACACCAUUCCAAAGAUGAAUAAUGAGAUUGUUCUUCAAACUUUCUUAAGCUUUUUGCCCACAAACAAACUGUGCCAACCCAAUAAAGUCUCUCUAGCCAACAAUGGAAGCACCCAAGACACCUCAAAAAGGACAAAGAGCAACUCCCAUAAAACCCUAGUUUUUACACAUUGAAUAAGGAGGUGAUCUAUAGACUCUUCAUCCAUAUGGCAAAGAUAACAUCUAUUUGCUAAGGACCACCCUCCUUUUUGAACUUGAUCCAAGGUUAAAACUUUUCCCCAUGUUGCCUCUCAAGUAAAAAAGAUAACUUUAGGUUGCACCCAUAAGUUCCAAAUGCUACUCGUUGGAAAAGAAACAUAGCUACCCAACUCCAAGGCGUCAUAUAGAGACUUCACAAUAAACUUGUCGCUUUUUGUCUCUGUCCAAAACACUCUAUCUUCCACAUCCCUACACACAAUCUUCCUAUAGAAACACACCAAAAAUCUCUCCACACAAUCCACCUCCCAAUCGUUGAAAGGUCUUGAGAAGCAUCCCCCUCCCUCCUUCGAUUAAGAAAAUCCAAACAUCUUCCACCCAUGCCUCCUUAGAGUCAGCUAAAGCAAACAAAGAAGGGAAUGACACACUCAAAGGUGUGUGCCCACACUACUUAUCCUUCCAAAAUUUCACCAUUCGCCCAUUACCGACCAAGAAAAAGAUCCUACCACUCAAAAGGUCUCAAUCCUUCCUACUCACUUUCCCCAACCCAACACCAUACACCUUCCUCACUUCCCAAGAAUUACACCCCCCCACCACACCCCCCACUUUCUUCCUCAUACAUCCCUCUAAUAACUUGAUUUUAAAGGCCUCUCUCUCAUUCCUAAAAUGUCAACUCCAUUUGCAAAGGAGAGUCUUAUUGAUAGUUGAGACACACUUAAUGCCCAAACCCCCUUUCCUCUUGUCUAAGCAAACAAUCACUUAUCUUACUAAAUGUGGUUUCUGCUCAAGGACCCCACCUCCCCACAGAAAGUCCCUUUGAAUAUGCUCUAAAUUCAAUCUAGCAAACACAUAAAAUAAAUGGGAAAGUUAGAUAAAAUACUUCGAAUUAGAGUAAUCAUCCCUCCUUUGGAAAUCUAUUGUCCCUUCCACAUGGUCAACCUUUUAUGAAACCUCUCUUCCACUCCAUCCCAAGUUGCCACUAAUUUAAACGAUGCACUUAAAGGAAGACCCAAGUAAGUGGAAGGGAGACUACCCACCUUACACCCAAGCUCAAAAGUAAGGUCACUUAUAUUUUCUACCCUUCUCAUAGGAAUUAACUCGCUUUUAUCCAAAUUUAUUCUCAACCUUGAAAUGGCCUCAAACCACAUAAGCAACCAACAUAGAUAAGUCAUUUGAUCUUAAGAUGCUUGGCAGAAGACAAGAGUGUCACCAACAAACAACAAAUGGGAAAUCUAAACCCCUUCUCCACUCUUCCCUUCACCUCACAACCUGAUAAAAACCUCCAUCCACUGCCCUCUUUAAAAGGCAACUGAGCGCGUCCAUUGCAAUCACAAAUAAAUAGUGCAAGAGAGAAUCCCCUUGCCUCAAGCUCCUUGAGCUUUGAAAAAAGCCAUUAGGGGUGCCAUUAACCAAAACAAGGAAACUUGUUGUGGAAAUGCAUCACCUGAUCCACCCAAUCCACUUCACCCCAAAACCAAUUUUUUGCAUAACUGAGAGCAGGAAAGUCCAUUUCACAUGAUCAAAAGCAUUAUUUUGGUCAUUACACAUGACAACAACUUGAUAAUCCAUUUUAUCAAGCACUUAAAUUUUACUUUUAAAACCCACAUCACUUUUGAAAUCACAAUUUACUAAAUGCUCAACUGUUUUACAUCAUAGUACUGAAUUGUUUCACAUCACAAUUGAUUUUUUAUUUUUUUUGUUUGCAGCACAACUAAAAACAAUUUUUCCCAAAGUUGCAGCAAUACCAAACUGACCAUAAAGAGGUUUGUCAUUUCACUCCGCUCCACUUGUUUUAGAGAGAGAGUAAUAAUCAUGCGUUCAAUAAAGAAGAGCAUUCAAAUUAAAAGUACAAGGAUAUUUUCAUUAAAUCCCUUUGGGAAUGGUCCAGAGUCCUUUUUUUAAUCGGAAAUGGUACAGAUUCUGGUUGCAUCUGGAAAAUUUUACAUUAUGGAAGUUCAUUGAUAGUCUAAACUGUAAAUAACUAGAUUGUGCUUUGCGUUUUCUUUUUCUUAUUUUUUUUUUCCCCAUGGGUGUUGUUAGAAGCCUUUCAAUAACAAUUUGUUUGCCCAUCAAAAAAAAAAUUAAAAACAAAAACAAAAAUCUUGUCAUAGUUCUUAGAACUUAAUAUUCUUCAGACUCUGAAUCAAAGAAACACUACACUAUCAGCAACAAAAUAAUAUUCAUAUCAAAAGGAGAAAAAAAGCAGGUUAGGGAAAAAAAAUUGUUGAUUCAUACAAUUAAAAAAGAGAAAAAAAAAAAGAAAGAAGCAAAAAUACCUUGCCCAGCUUUUCUGGUGUCAAUUCUUGGAACCUUGGCACAAUUCUUCCACCUACAAAGAGACCAACAGCAUCACUGAACAAGUAAAUACAGAAGAUAAAAAGUCAUAGUAACAGUUUUUGAGUGGUAUAGCAGAACUAACAAUCUAAAUUGGCACCAACCUGUGGCUAUUGCUAUCAGCUCUAACUCCACACCUCCAACCCACCGGACAGCAGGCAAAUUCCUGUGCAUUAAUAAAUGAUUUGCUUCAUCAUCAAACCCCCAUUGGCAGAUAACCAAGGUAGCACCAACAUCCUGAAAUUCAAUAAAAAUAGGGAUCAUAAAAGAAACAUAUAUUUGGCAAAUUAGUCUCCUAUUGCUUCUAAACAACAUUAUAAAUAAACCAUUGUAAUUUUACAAUUAAAAACCAGGUAAUAUAAACUAAUACAUCAGCUUAAUGACAAUAGGUGAUUGAUAUGACAUUCCAAAAAGGAAAAUAAAUCAAACCAAAGGAAAAUUAAAAAAGAAAACAAUUAGAAAGAAAGAUAAAUGAAUUGGAGUCAUAAAAAUGCCAUAGAAUUUUUCAGCAAUUGCACCUUGCAUUUUUGAACCAUGUCAUCAAAGUAUUUCUGCUCUUGGAGACGUAAAGUCUGGAAUUUUUCCACUGUAUCAAUAUCAACCUUAUGCUUAGUUUUUGGCUUAGGUGGCUCAAAGGGGCAUGUCAAAAUAGCAAUUUUUGCAUCUUCAAUAUGCUUGGGCAUUUGUGGAUGGCUCAUAUCCUUGUCAACAACAAUUCCAUGUAUUAACUCAGUAUCUUCCAGUUUUCCACCUACUUUCCCCUCUACUUUAAUUAAAUCUAAGUUAACAUCCCUCCUCUCCAAAUCUGCAACUGCCAUAACUGCUUUAACAGCAAUUUCAGCCAAACUGCGCUUGCAUCGAUUCACACUACAAUAUAAAGAAGAAAAGCAUUACAUUUGCAGUACAGAAACAUAUAAAAGAUAAAGUUAUCUAGAGAAGUUGAGCUAAUAUCAUCAUGCACAUAAGUAGCAAUUACCCUUCCUAGCUUGUCCAUGUUUAUACUUCACAACCCAUUUAUGUCAAUAUGAACUCAAAACAAAAAGUUCAAAGAAUGGAAAAGAGCAGAAAGACAAAUAUUAGCAAAAACCUAAUAAGAUAUUUCCAGGGAUCUUUUGGUUUCUUCAACCACAAUUUUGUAUAGUCAAUACACAAUUUUCACUCUUCACAUCCGCCUCAGCAGAGCCAAAAUAGUUCUAGGACUAUCCUUCCUAAUACUUUUUUCUUUUAUAUAUCAGGAACACACUACAUCAUUUCUAUUAUUAAAAGGGUAAAGAAGGAUGAGACCUCUUUCCAUAAAAAUCUUAUCAAAACAAGAGAAAGAACUCCUUAAAAAAGAGCCAUAUAAGCUGAACAAACAAGAAAAGAUUGCCGAAAAUCUAAGAGUGAAACAUAAAAAACUUUUGCAUCAAUUAAGCUUCAGUAAAUAAGAAGAGCCUAUUUUAGAAAAUAUAAUGUACAUGAUGCCCAAAAAGAGCAAAGCAUACAAUAAAAACUCCCAAGUAUCGCCAACAAUUUAAGCUUACAACUUUGUCUCAGAAGCUAGAAAUUUAAAAAUAAUAUAUAUAUAUAUAUAUAUAUGAAAAGCAAUAGCAGCAAAGAGAAAAGAAGAAAGUAGCUCCAAUAUACAGUGAAUAGCAGGAAAUUGAAGGUGUAUAUCAAGUAAGUUCCCAUAAAUUAAAAUGAGAACUAUAGCCAUGGUAGGGGGAAGAAAUAGUGCUCUUUGUUGGUUUUUUUUUUUUUUUUUUUAGUAAUGCUCUUUGCUUAUAUUAUGCCAACCAGAACCCAAAACUAUGAAAUACAAAAACUAUUCAAUUCUUAAUUGGACUAUCAUUUCACCUUUAGCUUUAGCUUAUUUCUCAAUAUUGACAACAAUUGAAUUCUUAAUUGGACUAUCAUACAUACAUACAUAUAUAUAUAAGAGAUAUAACUAAAAAAGAAGUCAUAUGGUUGAGACACAGAAAAUCAAACAAUUAAGCAAAAAUCUUAGACGAGUCUCUUCAUACUAGUUCCAGUGACUCCAAUCAGCUAUCUGAUCAUAGUGCAUAGUUGUCUAGGGACACAAUUCUACAGAAACAGAUGCACAGAAGGAGCUAAUUCAGACUGCAAUAGGCACACAGCACACUAUAGUAAGUGGCUCAUUAAGCUAUUUCAUAAUAAAAGACUGGCAACCUGAGGAACUUUAGCCCAUCGAAGCUAGAUAAUACAGCAAGUACAGAGUGAGCUAAACUUCUCACCUAUGGCGCUCCAUGGGUUAAAUUAAUGUACUAGAAGUCUGCUGCUCAAGCUUGAGCUCAAUGAAUCCUCACUAUUAGAAAAAUUAUAGUCAAGUGCAGAGUUGGACUGCCAACAUUUUCAGGCAACUCAUGGAAGAUGACAUUUUCCAUUAUAAUCCACAAACCAGAAGCAAAACCAUAGAAAUAUUAGAAGAUGUUAUGUUGCAGAUACCAUGGACCGGAUAUUAGAUUUGAUAAGGUAUUUUUAGAACCUACAGUGAUGUGCCCUCCAAAUGGGGAGCAGAAGACUUAUUGAGAUGGAAAGCUGCAAUAAGAGGGAAAUUUUGAGUGAAAUCUUUCUAUCAAAAACUAAUGCCUCGAGAUUAAGCUGCUUUCCUAGAUAAAGAAUUACGGAUGUUGACUUCACCAUCAAAGGAAGCUCUUCGGUUUUGGAUAGUCAGGUGAGAGAAAACUCUAACUUUGGGCCAUUCAAGAUGAGAGAGAGGAACAUGAUAGCCUGUGCUAUACAUGUAGAAGGAAGGAAGAAUCAUUGGAUCAUAUGUUGAUUCACUGUUCAUUUUCCUGUAAAUCAUGGUUUUUGCACUUCCUUCAUUUCCUAUUUCUUGGUGCCUCCUGGGAACUUCAAAGAGAUACUCGGUUCACAUGUCAACCUAUUAAGCAAAUAAUACAGAGGUUUCAUGAUGAGUCCCUUAUUUUGUAGCCUGGCACAUCUGCACAGAGAGGAAUAGAAGGACCUUUGAGGGGAUAGAUCUACUCCUCCCAAAGUCAAAGAAGUUUUUUUUGCACUUGAGCAAUCUUGGGUUGAGGAUUAUUUUUUAGGCAGGAAACACUGCCUAGUGAAUUUCUUCAGUAGUGUGGGUUGUUCUCCAGCAUAAGGAGUGCAGUUUUUCCUCUUUUCUUUCUGCAUAGUGACUGUCAGUACAGUGUGAAUAUGCUCCUAGCGUACAUGUAUUGGACCCUAUUCGGUGCCUUUUGGAUUAGUUCCUCCAUUUACAUAUGAAUUUUACAAGAUAUUUUGGCACAAUGAGCCCAACAUGCAGGCAAAACCUACGAUAGAGGAAGGAUGUCAAAUCUAGUGCAGACUGCUAGAAACAGAAAGUAAUUUUCACAUUGUAAAAAAAGGAAAAUUAAGGCAGAAAUUUUCAAUGAUAUUGCUGUACGUAACAUUAUAAUGCCACAAGUCAUCAUUGAAGAGCAUGGAGAUCCCAUGAUGGACUAGAUGGAUGGGGGAGUGAACUUACAUCUUGGAUGAUAGAGUGGUCAUGCAAGUUUGAACUAAAGGUUCUAUAUUUGUUACUCCAAACUCAAACUUUUGAGCAAUGUGUUCCAAAUGUUCAACAGCUAUCCUACAAGCCAUUUCAUAGCCCUCUGCAACCCGAAUAGGAUGAAUCCCACGUUCAAGUAGCCCCUCAGCCUGCUCUAGAAGUGCACCAGCCAAAACUACAACUCCUGUUGUGCCAUCACCAAUUUCAUAAUCUUGGCUUCGAGAUAGCUCAACCAUCAGCUUCGCAAUUUGAUUGUCAACAUCCAUCUGCUCCAAUAUUGUUGCACCAUCAUUCGCUAACAAAACAAAUAAAAGGUGAGUGAAGAUCAUAGCUGAAGAAUCAAACCAUGGAACAAUGGUAUAAGAUGGUCUAUGUCAGGUCAUACAACAGCAGAACAAUUAUGCAUGAAUGGGAAUGUAUAAUCAUUUGCCAUCAUGUGAUGACCACACAAAAAGGUUUCAGCAGUCAAGAAGCAAAAAUUGAAUAAUGGGUCAAGAACUGAUACCACAUUCAAAAGGGGAAUGAACAAUGUGUUUGGAGUGGGGUAGAAAUAAAGUAUUUGCUUAAACUGGAACAAAGUGUUUGAAGAAAUUGAAUGCAACAGUGGGGUUUCUCAAUACAGAUUACAUUUCCAUCUUAAGUGGCAGAAUUUGUAUGAAAUUCAUCAAGUUUUAUCUUCAUUCUUUUUAAACAAAGUCAAAAGGUCCCUGGAAAAGUCCUUCAUAUUUAACCUCUUCUCAGAUGCCAAACAAAAGAAAGUAAAAAACCAAUUCUUUAAUUUUUUUUUCCUUUCCCAAUAAUUAAAUUACUUUCCCUCAUUUGAUUCCAAACAGGGUAGAAAGAAUUGCAAAAAAUAAAAAAUAAAAAAUAAAUGAGAAGACUUGGGG